Molecule: long non-coding RNA, 57459 nt
Filed under: Coffea arabica (coffee)
Lineage: Eukaryota; Viridiplantae; Streptophyta; Magnoliopsida; Gentianales; Rubiaceae
Description: long non-coding RNA (CARA_LNC003564)
Source: RNAcentral
UUUUUUUUUUUUUUUUUGUAUAUCUCACAUUUUCUCAAGUGUCAUGAUAGGUAGUCUAAAGGCACAUUAUUAUUCUUAUAUCAGAUAAAAUAAAAAAAAAUAGAGUGUAUAUUAUUGAGUUGAUAACAAAUGUCGUAAUAAAAGUGCUAUAAUGACACAAACCAACAAGUGUUCUUAUAGACAUGUCAGGAAAAGCCAUUUUUGUUGUAGUGUCCUCAUCACCAUGCCACCCCACCACAGCCACCAACCAUAUCAUAGAUGUCUUUGAUGUAUGUAUAAAGUAUUCAAGGCUGCAGGCAUAUGUUUGAUCUUUAGAUCCCUUGUAAUAGUAAUACUUAGUGGAACUGAAAUUCCCAAUUCAAUAAAAAAAAAAGAGAAAAAAAUCUAUGAGAUGACUAAUUAGAUCAAUCCAUGAAGCCUUCAGAUCAUUUCAAAUAUAUGUUGAGAAUCGAAGUCAAGAAAUUUUGAAGUUACUAUAGAUUUGAUGGUGCGCAAUAUAGUUAAACAUGAUUAUAAGUUUCUCAAAUCUAGACAACUAGGCAUAAAAACAACUCUCUUUUUCUUUUUUCUUUUUUUUUGGUUCAAGAGGAAACUUCAAACCUUGCAAAGGAGGAAAGGGAAGUGGCACUUUAAUUUUGCAAAACGAAGAUCUUUAUUACCUACAGGGCAUCUGGUGUCUCCGAUUGGAUGGUUUGGAAUUCCUGGUUUCCUCAAUUCUGUGUCCAAGUUAUGCAAAAUAUAAAGGGGAUUAUGGAGAAAACAAAAUUUUUAUGCUAUAAUGGAAAAGAAAAUUUAAGGAAGCAAAAUGAGCACCCAAUUUUACCCAGUACUAAUUGAGCUAUUGAACAAUAACAGUAGAGACCAAAUUAAGAGAUUUAUAUAGAUUAAAGCCCAAAAGCGCAAGCAAAAUGUCAUGUGAAGCAACAGUAACAAACUCUGUACAUGAACCAUGGUUCUUCAAUGAAAGUCACAGACCUGUGUAUCUUUUGAGAGAUAGUUCUUCGUUUCCAAUAUUUUACCAUCAAGUUAUGUACGUGCCAAUAUGAUCUAUGCAAACAGGUUAAGAUAUCCCAUGUAUGAUCUGAUCUAGAACUCCAUACUAGUGUCAAUUGUUGCAUGUUUGCCGUUGAAUUUUCUUAAAGAUCUGCAUAAAUGGCCUCUUACAAACUAUUAGAUUAAGACUCUGAAAUUCUAUUAAAGUAAUUUAAUUAAGGGUAAAUUACUUAUAAUCUCCUGCAAUUUUACAUAGUGUCAGAUGGCCCCCUAUGGUUUCAAAAUAGCCACAUAUCCUCUCUAUGGUUUUAUGUAAAGUAGAAAAUGGAUGGAAUGCACAAUCACUUACACUGUUUAUACCAAAAGCGCUCUAAAAGCACGUGUGGUAAAAUUUUAAUCUGCAUAUAACUCCUUCAUGGUUUGUAUAAAUAUAAAUAUCCACUUUACUCUCUUUUGAAUUUUGCAUUUAUCCAUAUAAUCCCCUUAUGCUUUUAUAAAAAAUAGUUGGUUGUCAAUAGAUUUGGCAUUUAAAUAAGGGUACUAUUGGUAUUUCAAUUAACGACAUUACAUAGGUUAUUUUCUAUCAACUUUUCACUUUAUAUAAAACCAUAAGUGAGUGAAAUGGAUAUCUUGAAAUAUUAGAGGGGCCAUGUAGCAAUAAACGAAACCAUAGAGAGGGUUAUAUGUUAUUUACCCUUUAAUUGAUGACCAUGACUACGUGGAAGUUGGAUGCUUCAAAAUAUAAGACACGAUAAUAGUCGUUAAUAAGUUUCUGUUUGAUCAAUUUUUCCCCUUUGCUCACUCAUGUUCUUGGUUUUUUUUUUUCAAAUUUGAUGAAAAUAAAGGUGAAGCAAUAUUUUUGUGAGUUAGAACGCCACCUUGCAAAUCCUAUAGGCAGGUUUUUUUUUUUUUCAAUUUAAAAAGUUAUUCUAAAUCUUACAAUGAUGAUAAUAAAAAAAAUAAAAAAAUUGAAGAGUCCAAAUAAAGUCCUCACGAACGUUGCGAAUCAUAUAUAUAUAUAUAUAUAUAUAUAUAUAUAUAUAUGUAUAUAUAUAUAAAGGAGUUGUUUGAUUGUUGGAUAAUUUUCAUCUGACCUUUUCGAGGGUGAAGUUAGGUUAUGCAGCCCGAGUGUACAAGUCAUUAACGGUAUAGUACUAGCGUUGUAUGUUCAUUGCUGUGUGCAUUACCCACUUUACCCUUAGUGGGUUGAUGCUUACACUGCUUCAGCUUUGCGCUUCUAAGUAGCCGUUACCAUUGAUUUGUAAUUGCUGCAAAUCGUCAUGCAAGUCAUUGAGUUUCUGCAAAGAGAUCUAGGGGUUACAUUGAAUAAUUGGAGCAUCAUUACGCGCACAUGAAUGCAUUGAGAAGAACAUUAACUCAAUCCUUUAUAGUGGAAGUGUAACUGCUGGCUUUUUCUCUUCUAAAUUUUUCACAAAAUGAAUUCAGCAGAUGUAAGGAGUUGGAUCUUUAGAGUGAGCAAUUAUGGCUUCUUUAUUACAAUAGUAAUGGAUGGAAGAUGAGGGACCUGUUGGAAACGUCUGAAUAGAAACUGAAUGUUUUUUGCUUUGUUGAAGCAUUUGUCAAGCAGUUUUUUUUAGCAACCCGAAUAAUGAAGGACAUUAACACAGAGUACGGUUGCAUGAGUUGCUUAAACUCUAUAUUACCAAGGUGGUCCUUGAAGAGGCAAGGUUUCUUGCACUAUGUUUUUCAGGUAGAUACUAUCUCUGUAUAUAUCGAAUUCCUGAAUGAAACAGUGACAAUAUUGUGCAGUUUAAAAGUGGUUAUUAUAUUUGUAACUGUAUUCUUGAAUUUUCAUGUUUGCCAGCAACUGAGGUACAACUGUGAGGCAAGGGAUUUGUCCAGCAGCAGCUUUGUGAUCAAGGUACUUCCUAAAACAAUUGUUCCAAUUAAUUAAUGCAUUAUUGGUGUUCAUGCGUUGCUGUACUAGAAUUACAAUUGUGUUCUGCAACUGUUUUAUGCAAUUUAGACUUGCUAAUUAGUCUUAUAUUGUCCUUUUCAACUUAUCUGCAAGCCUCUGUGUCAGUUAAAUUGCAGUAGUUAUGGUAGGGGAAACAUAAAUAGGCACUAAGUAACAAAAGCACACCAAACAUUCCUAAAUAUCUAAGCAUGUGAUAGUUUUAUGGCUAGGGGCUCCUGUUUGUUGAUUACUUGAGGAGAAAUAAGUUACAAUUUGAAAUAGUUCAAUCUUAGAGUAAAGGAUUUACAAAUAGUUGUAUGAUUUUCUUUCUAAUCAUUACAAUUGAAAGGACAAAAGUGAUUCAAUUUUUUUUUUUUUAUAAAUGUUUUCACAGUAAAUUUUGUAAAAAUUCUUACUGACUUAUGAUCAUGUGAUUAAAUGACCAUUUGGUUACUUUUACAUUUCUCCACUUAAACAAAUUAGUGUUUUUUUAUUCCAUUUGUGCAUUUAAAAAUCACUAUACUUUUUCAUUUUCUUUUGAUAUUGAUAGCAUUUUUUACUUUCUUAAUCUCGUGAUACAUAACAAAUUAUAACAUAGGUACUCACUCCUGCGCAUUGCACAGUCUUUUCCCCUAGUUGACUCAUAUAUUUACCAGUUAAUUAGUGAUUUUGGGAAUGUAGGCGUAAUCUCUAGUUCCCAUCCUGGGUUUUGGAAACAAUGGCUCCAAGACAAGUCUCGGUUUUCUUCAACAGGAGAAUCCAAGGGAAGACCCAAUUAUAACGAAGAAAUGCACUUACACUCCUAGUUUGAAUCCUGAAUCGAUAACCAAGAAGGCAAUUCGCGAUCUAGUUAUCUCUGACAAGUUGAUUAUUGUCGGUUCUUAUUACCCUGCAAUCCAAUUAUACUAAAGGAAUGCACUAACACUCGUGGUUUGAACCCUCUAUCUGUAAUCAAGAAUGCAAUUACUCCGCAAGAACUUUUACGGCUCUAUACUUUCGAAGCGAAAGGGACACUAAGAGCUAGUUUUAAGCUUCUUUUGUAUUAUUUUUCUAUUUGUCAGUAAUCUUCAUCUCUUUUAUAAUAAGAUUUUGGUUAAUCAUAGGUAAUACCUUCUAAGGUUUAGUGUAUUUCAAUUAAACCGUUUGGUUAUUUAAACUCAUAAAAGGAAUUGUGACCCUGUUUUAGGUUAUUCUUCACCUAAUUACCCUUGGUAUUAGUUUUUAGGCAAUUGACCUCUUCAUUGAUAAUAAGGUAAUUGUGAUAUUAAAACAGCUAAAAUACAAAGGUGUACCCGCAUCAUUAUAAUUUCUUUUUUUCUUUUAAAUACCUUAGUCCACGGUAAACCAUAUGCUAUAUUGAAAAGAAAAAUACGAAAGUUAACACAUGUCAAACUUUUCUUUUAAUUUAUAGUGUUUAAAGUGAAAAGCGCCGUUGCAGGUAAUAGUAAUUCAAAGGUUUUGAGUGACAAAAAAAAAAUAAAACAUAAGAGCCUAAAGCAUGCCUUUCAUUCUUAAUAUGAAAAUUUCCAAUUUCAGUGUAGUAAAAGUUCUGUUCAGUGGCUUGGAUUAGUUAUUUGGAUACUUUUAAUACACAACACAAAAUAAUUCUCCUUAAUGAGUUUCCAUCUAUUUUACAUUUUAAUGGAAAUCAGUGUAUUGAGUUCUAUAGGUCCUGCCAUCCUUGUACAAAACAUAUUUUCUUGGAAAACAUGAGAAUAAUGGAUGAAGACAUUUUAACCUAGACAGUAUACAUGCCAUAUUCAUUCCCUAAAUUUAGUUGUGUAUGUGUAAAAUAAGCACUCGUUAAAAUAUAUUUCAAGUGUUAGACUUUUAGAAAUGUAAGACUAAUUAGGAAAAAUAUAUAAAUCUGAGGACAAAUAAUAAUCAUUCAUAUGUACAUGGUAGUAAUAAUUGUUAGUAUAUAUAUAUAUAUAUAUAUGAUAGGUUAUGUGGAAUUUAAGUGUGUUAAUAAAAAACGUUAAAAAAUAAUAUACCAGCCUUUAAUUUUUUUCCAUGUAAGUGAAAACGGCAAGUCAAAUGUACAUUGCCAUGUAUUAUAAGAAGGUAAGUGACACGUUAUUAUCUUCCAUAGAAGGAAUAAAAUCUGUUGUAGAUGAAAUUGACAUACAGUCCACUAAAUCUUGUUACUUAAUGUCAUUGAACAAGACAAUCCGCUUUUCCAUUUUGGCUAAGCCUCAUCAAUUCGGCAUUAAAUAUGAAUCAACAAUAAAUCAAGAAAUGACCCCUAUAUAAAGGACCACCACCAACCUCACAUCACUGCAUAAUAGUUGAUAGUUGACUCUUGAUAGGUAAAGCAAGAAAAAUGGCUGUUAAAAUGAGUUGGAAAGCAACCAUUUUGAUCUUUUUCAUGAUGUUAAAUUUCUGGGGAUUUCUCAUGAGUUGCAAUGCAAGAGUUAUUGUUGAGAAUUAUCCCUCAGUUGACAGCAAAACUCUGUUUCAUAAGCUGGGCUUUGAUGUCGCUGAAUACCAGAAGAAGAAUGCCCGAUUGUUGAGAGAAGCACCGGGCGGACCUGAUCCUCAUCACCAUGCCACCCCACCACAGCCACCAACCAUAUCAUAGAUGUCUUUGAUGUAUGUAUAAAGUAUUCAAGGCUGCAGGCAUAUGUUUGAUCUUUAGAUCCCUUGUAAUAGUAAUACUUAGUGGAAUUGAAAUUCCCAAUUCAAUAAAAAAAAAGAGAAAAAAAUCUAUGAGAUGACAGAAAUUUUGAAGUUACUAUAGAUUUGAUGGUGCGCAAUAUAGUUAAACAUGAUUAUGAGUUUCUCAAAUCAAGACAAUUAGGCAUAAAAACUACUCUCUCUCUCUCUUUUUUUUUUUUUUUUGGUUCAAGAGGAAACUUCAUAUCUUACAAAGGAGGGAAGGGAAGUGGCACUUUAAUUUUGCAAAACGAAGAUCUUUAUUACCUACAGGGCAUCUGGUGUCUCCAAUUGGAUGGUUUGGAAUUCCUGGUUUCCUCAAUUCUGUGUCCAAGUUAUGCGAAAUAUAAAGGGGAUUAUGGAGAAAACAAAAUUUUUAUGCUAUAAUGGAAAAGAAAAUUUAAGGAAGCAAAAUGAGCACCCAAUUUUACCCAGUACUAACUGAGCUAUUGAACAAUAAAAGUAGAGACCAAAUUAAGAGAUUUAUAUUGGUUAAUGGCCAAAAGCUCAAGCAAAAUGUCAUGUGAAGCAACAAUAACAAACUCUAUACAUGAGCCAUGGUUCUUCAAUGAAAGUCACAGGCCUAUGUAUCUUUUGAGACAUAUAGUCCUUUGUUUCCAAUAUUUUAUCAUCAAGUUAUGUGCGUGCAAAUAUGAUCUAUGCAAACGGGAUAAGAUGUCCCAUGUAUGAUUUGAUCUAGAACUCCAUACUAGUGUCAAUUGUUGCAUGUUUGCCGUUGAAUUUUCUUAAAGAUCUGCAUAAAUGGCCUCUCACAAACUAUCAGAUUAAGCCUCUGAAAUUCUAUUAAAGUAAUUUAAUUAAGGAUAAAUUACUUUAUAACCUCCUGUGAUUUUAUAUAAUGCCAGAUGGCCCCCAUAUAGUUUCGAAAUAGCCAAAUAAUCACUCUAUGGUUUUAUGUAAAAUAGAAAAUAGAUUGAAUGCACAAUCACUUACACUGUUUAUACCAAACACACUCUAAAAGCAUGUGUGGUAAAAUCUUAAUCUGCAUGUAACCUUUUUAUGGUCCAUAUAAAUAUCCACUUUACCUUCUUAUGAAAUUUGCAUUUAUACAUAUAAUCCCCUUAUACUUUUAUAAAAAAUAGUUAGGCCGUCGAUUGAUUUGGUAUGUAAAUAAGGAUACUAUUGGUAUUUCAAUUAACAACGAUACAUAGGAUAUUUUCUAUCAAGUUUUCACUUUAAUUAUAUAAAAUCAUAGGUGAUUGAAAUGGAUAUUUUGAAAUAUUAGAGGGGUCAUGUGGCAAUAAAUGAAACCAUAGAGAGGGUUAUAUGUUAUUUACCCUUUAAUUGAUGACCAUGACUACGUAGAAGUUGGAUGCUUCAAAAUAUAGGACAUGAUAAUAAUAGUUAAUAAGUUUCUGUUUGAUCAAAUUUUCCCCCUUGGUCACUCAUGUUCUUGGUUUUCUUUAAUUUGAUGAAAAUAAAGGUGAAGCAAUAUUUUUGUGAGUUAGAAUGCCACCUUGCAAGUCCUAUAGACAGCAUUUUUUUUUAAUUUAAAAAGAGAUUCUAAAUCUCACAAUGAUGAUUAUAAAAAAUAAAAAAUUGAAGAGUUGAAAUAAAGUCCUCACGAUCGCUUUGAAUUGACUCAUAUAUCUACCAAUUAAUUAGUGAUUUUGGGAAUGUAGGUGUAAUCUUCAGUUCCUGUCCUGGAUUUUGGAAACAAUGGCUCCAAGACAAGUCUCGGUUUUCUUCAACAGGAGAAUCCAAGGGAAGACCCAAUUAUACCAAAGAAACGCACUUACACUCCUAGUUUGAAUCCUCCGUCGAUAAUCAAGAAGGCAAUUCGCGAUCUAGUUAUCUUUGGCAAGUUGAUUAUUGUCAGUUCUUGUUACUCUGCAAUCAAAUUAUAUUAGGGGAAUGUACUAACACUUAUGGUUUGAAACCUCUGUCUAUAAUCAAGAAGCAAUUCAUGGCGAACUUAUAUUUGACAAGUUGAUCAAGAAUCGUUACUCUUUUGACACAAAAAAGGGUUUAGAAAAUCCUUUUCUUGUGUCGAAGACUAGGAAGACGAAUAAUCUCUUCUAGAAGAGAUUGUUUGUUUCCUAUAUAUCCCUUCUAUUACCCGAUUACUUCUGUCAGGUAUCUAAUUUAAUCGAAUUCUAUUUAGAUGAUCCAUUUUAUAACAUUGAAAUCGGGCAAUAGUAAUAUUGUCCCAUCGCCCCAAUUUAACUAAAAAAAAAUAAAGAAAUAGGGUGAAAGUCAAAUAAGAUUUUUCAAAAUCUAUAUACUAUGACUAGCAAUGCGACGAAAGAAAUUCCCAGCAUCUCGUAGAAAAAGUAUAAACAAGCACAAGUCUCUGCAAAGCUUUUACCGCUCUAUACUUUGGAAGCGAAAGGGACACUAAGAGCUUGUUUUAAGCUUCUUUUGCGUUAUUUUUCUAAUUGUAAGUAAUCUUCAUCUCUUUUAUAUAUCAACAAACAUAUAUAAAUGUGGAGGAAUUGGUGUACAUGGUCAAUAUACCAUGUAACAUGCUAAUUUUAAGAUAUCUAGGGUCGACCUUUAUCUAAGCUUUUGGUUAAUCAUAGGUAAUACCUUCUAAGGUUUAGUGUAUUUCAUUUAAACCGUUUGGUUAUUUAAACUCAUAAAAGGAAUUGUGACCCUGUUUUAGGUUAUUCUUCACCUUACCCUUAGUAUUAGUUUUUAGGUAAUUGACCUCUUCAUUGAUAAUAAGGUAAUUGUGAUAUUAAAACAACUAAAAUACAAAGGUGUACCCACAUCAUUAUAAUUUCUUUUUUUUUUUUAAAUACCUUAGUCACGUUAAACCAUAUGCUAUAUCGAAAAGAAAAAGAAAAAGGUAUGAAAGUUAACACAUAUCAAACUUUUCUUUUAAUUUAUAGGGUUUAAAGUUAAAAGCACCGUUGCCAUAAUAUAUAGUAAUUCAAAGGUUUUGAGUGAAAAAAAAAAAAAAAAGCCUAAAGCAUGUCUUUCAUUCUUAAUAUGAAAGUUUCCAAUUUCAGUGUAGUAAAAGUUCUGUUCAGUGGCUUGGAUUAGUUAUUUGGAUACUUUUAAUACACAACACAAAAUAAUUCUCCUUAAUGAGUUUCCAUCUAUUUUGCAUUUUAAUGGAAAUCAGUGUAUUGAGUUCUAUAGGUCCUGCCAUCCUUGUACAAAACAUAUUUUCUUGGAAAACAUGAGAAUAAUGGAUGAAGACAUUUUAACCUAGACAGUAUACAUGCCAUAUUCAUUCCCCAAAUUUAGUUGUGUAUGUGUAAAAUUAAGGGUAUGUAUAAUGGGUGUUCAAUGGGCACUCGUUAAAAUAUAUUUCAACCGUUAGACUUUUAGAAAUGUAAGAUUAAUUAGGAAAAAUAUAUAAAUCUAAGGAAAAAUAAUAAUCAUCAGUAUGUACAUGGUAGUAAUAAUUGUUAGUAUAUAUAUAUAUAUAUAUAUAUAUAUGAUAGAUUAGGUAGAAUUUAGAUGCGUUAAUAAGAAAACGCUAAAAAAUAAUAUACCAGCCUUCAAUUUUUAUUUUUCCAUGUAAGUGAAAAUGGCAAGUUAAAUGUACAUUGCCAUGUAUUAUAAGAAGGUAAGUGGCACGGUAUUAUCUUCCAUAGAAGGAAUAAAAUCUGUUGUAGAUGAAAUUGACAUACAAUCCACUAAAUCUUGUUACUCAAUGUCACUGAACAUGGACAAUCCGCUUUUCCCUUUUGGCUGAGUCUCAUCAAUUCGGCAUUAAAAAUGAAUCAAAAAUAAAUCAAGAAAUGACCCCUAUAUAAAGGACCACCACCAGCCUCACAUCACUGCACAAUAGUUGAUAGUUGACUCUUGAUAGGUAAAGCAAGAAAAAUGGCUGUUAAAAUGAGUAGCAAAGCAACCAUUCUGAUCUUUUUCAUGAUGUUAAAUUUCUGGGGAUUUCUCAUGAGUUGCAAUGCCAGAAUUAUUGUUGAGAAUUAUCCCUCAGUUGACAGCAAAACUCUGUUUCAUAAGCUGGGCUUUGAUGUCGCUGAAUACCAGAAGAAGAAUGCCCGAUUGUUGAGAGAAACACCGAGCGGACCUAAUCCUCUUCACCAUGCCACCCCACCACAGCCACCAGCCAUAUGAUAGAUGUCUUUGAUGUAUGUAUAAAGUAUUCAGGGUUGCAGGCAUAUGUUUGAUCUUUUGAUCCCCUGUAAUAGUAAUACUUAAUGGAACUGAAAUUCCCUUGUAAUACGUCUUGGUUUUGGAGUAUUUAUGUUUGAGUUUGAUGCGAUUAUGUAUGGUUGCUAUAUAUAUAUAUAUAUUGUAAUUUUUGUGGACAUCUAGAAAUCAAAUUAUAUUUAUACAUUGAGUUGAUACGCACGAAAAAACUUAUGAUAAUACACUAAAUUAUGUAAGAAAUAUAUUCCAAACCUAUAAUCGCAUAAAAAUCUCAACUGUACUUCCCUGUACGUGUCUCCAUGCAAAAGGAAUUCUUGAACAUGGAGGAAAGCAACAUCACUCGACGGGUUUAUCAAACUUAGAAGAUUAGAUAAGCAUUUCCAUCAUUUGACAAAUUAUCUCGAAUUGAAAUUGUUGACAUUCGUGAAAUUGUUAGUAUGUUCCAUUUAAACCGUUUGGUUAUUUAAAACUCAUAAAAGAUAUUGUGACCGUAUUAUUCCUCACCUUACCCUUAGUAUUAGUUUUUAGGUAAUUGACCUCUUCAUUGAUAAUAAGGUAAUUGUGAUACUAAAACAACUAAAAUACAAAGGUGUACCCACACCAUUAUCAUUUUUUUUUCUCUUUUAAAUACAUUAGCCUGCGUUAAAGCAUAUAAUACAUUGAAAAGAAAAAGAAAAUGGUAUGAGAGUUAACACAUGUCAAACUUUUUCUUUUAAUUUAUAGGGUUUAAAGUUAAGGGUGCAGUCGUCAUAAUAGCAAUUCAAAGGUUUAGAGUUAUAUAUAUAUAUAUAUUUAUUUAUUUAUUUAUGUUAUAUAUAUAUAUAUAUAUAUAUAUAUAUAUAUAUAUAUAAGAGCCUAAAUCAUGCCUUUCAUUCUUAAGGAGUAAAAGUUUUGUACAGUAGCUUGGAUUAGUUAUUUGGACAUUUUUAAUACACAACACCAAAUAAUUCUCCUUAAUGAGUUUCCAUUUAUUUUACAUGUUAAUGGAAAACAGUGUAUAUGUUGAGCUUUUAUAGGUCCUGGCAUCCUCAUACAAUACAUAUUUUCUUGGAAAACAUGAAAAUAAUGGAUGAAGAUAUUUUAACCUAGACAGUAUACGUGCCAUAUUCAUCCCCUAAAUUUUAGUUGUGUACAUGUAAGAUAAAGGGUUUGCUUAAUGGGUGUUCAACCGGUAUUCCUUAAGAUAUAUUUUAGGUGUUAGAUUUUUAGAAACAUAAGAGUAAUUAGGAAAAAUGUAUAAAUGUAAGGAAAAAUAAUAAUUGUUAGUAUAUACAUGAUGGUAAUAAUUGUUACUACGCAUAUACAUUAUAGGUUAAGUGAAAUUUAGGUGAAAUUUAGGGAUGUUAAUAAGUGCCCAAUAAACACCCAUUGCGAAAACGUUAAAAAAUAAUAUACCAACCUUUAUUUAUUUUUUCCAUGUAAGUGAAAACGGCAAGUUAAAUGUACAUUGCCAUGCAUUAUAAGAAAGUAACGGCACGUUAUUAUCUUCCAUAGAAGGAAUAAAAUCUGUUGCAGAUGAAAUUGACAUACAAUCCACUAAGGGUACGUUUGGUUCUACAGAAUUAGAAUUGAAUUAGAAUUGGAAUUCUAUAGAAUUUGAAUUCUAUGAAUUAGAAAUCCAAAUCCUUGCAAUUCUUUCGUUUGGAAAAUACAUAGAAUUGAUACGGAAUUUAUUUGGAAUUCCAAAUUCUUUGUUUGGAUGAGAGAAGAAUUCAUUAGGAAUUAGAAUUGUUUCCAACUAAUAUUUCCUUACAUAAAAAAUUUCUUUUUUUUACUAUAUAAUAAUUUUUUAACAUUUAGCUAAUUGUUACUAAAGCUUUAAGGAAAAAACCAAUUAGUACCUUUAAUAAUUUAUUUUUUCUUGCAUUUAACUAAUUGUUAAUAAAGCUUUAAAAGAAAAAAAAUUAGUUCCUUUUUUGCAAAAAUAAAAAAAUUCUUUUUUUUAAAUUAAAUUAUAUUAAAUAAAAAAUAAUUGUAUAUUCUAACUUAAAAAGUAGUUAAUAUUUAUCGAGUUAAAACCUUGAUACAAAUUUAAAGUUAAGAACUUUAAAUUUUAGAAAAUCAAAAGCCUACUCUAUGAUAUGAAUUGGGAGGAAAGUCAUAACUUGUACCUAUUAUAAAUAUUUGAGUUUUGUAUCUUACAAGAAAUUUCAAUAGAUGAAUACACAAACAACGUGUUUUUAGCCAAAAAAAAAAGAGAAAGAAAAGCACAGUUAUACAUUGCUACUAUUUUUCAAUAAAUGGCCAUUCUAAUAUUAAAUUAAGUUCGAAUAAAUUCCUAUCAAAUUUCAACUUCCAUGAUGGCCUUGUCUAAUUUGAUAGUCAAUAAACAUUGCUCGUGCUAAAGCAUUCCUAAAUUGUGUCCACUCGCUAGUUGGUUGUACUGUUCGAAUUCGAUUCUCGUUAACAGCAUUUACACCACCAUCAUUAUUUGGACCAUCAUCUUCCAUUCCAUUUUCCUCAUCUUCAUCUUCCAUUUCAUCUUCAUCAUCAACCUCAUGUUGUACUCUUCGCAUCUCAGCAUCAACUUCAUCCAAGUAAGGGUCAUUUGGUUGUUCUACUCGAAUAAGAUUAUGAAGGAUGGCACAUGCAUUAAUUAUCAUGACAUGAGUCUUAACAUCAAAAAAAGAUGCAUCUCUCAAAAUGGCCCACCGCUUCUUGAACAAACCAAAUGUCCUUUCAAUCACAUUUCGAGCAAUUGAAUGUCGAAGGUUGAAUAACUCUUUAAAAUUUUGAGGCUUCCUCCCACUAGCAGACCACUCGCUAAGAUGAUAUCUAACUCCCCUAUAUGGAGCUAAGAAACCGGAGCUAUUUGCAUAACCCGCAUCAACAAGAAAGUACUUGCCUGUAAUGUUAGACAACAAAUUAUUACUCAUUUAUAGUGUUAAAUUCUACAUAGUCAAUUGAAGCUAAAAUGAUAGCUAAAAAGAUUAAUUAUCUUCUCCUUGAAACUCCUCUAUAUAUGUGUGUGUGUGUGAGAUAAAGAUAGCUAUUUACAAUUUCCUAACUAGCAAUGAAUUGCAGGGAAAGCCCAACUGUUACACCACAUAAGCUUUAAAAUAUGCGUAACAAUUGAUUAUAUACAGAAACAUACACCAAAGAACUGCAGGACAAUUGUUCUAGUUAGUGUCAAAAUUGAACCGUUAUUACCAAGCUCAAUAGUUGAAACAUGAAAGCCAGAGAUAGAGCUAUAAUUUUCACAUCAAAAACCUAUUCACAACAUUCUAAGUGCUUGAAAAUAAAUACCUUUAUAAAACCACAGAUACAAGGAAGACUGAAGUGACGAUCUUCAGCCUUUAAGCAUGCCCAACUUCAUGUCAGCCCACAACUUUGCUAUCAAGAAGAAUGCACCGACUUCACUUAAAUGCAGGGCAAGGUUAAACAAGCCUUCCUGUAACAUAUUAGGAACAAUCAAACACAUUUAAAUAUACGCUAAGAGAGAGUGUGUGAGAGAAUUUAUGACAGCAUUAAAUAGUCCAAAACAAACAUUCAUCACAUUCCAUGUCCAUUGACGAGAAUUUAGCAGCCUUGAGCUGAUACAUAAAAGAUUUUUCAGGCCCUGACAGCAAGUUUUUCAACAGCCACUGCAGUAUAGAACUAAAAAUUCGCUCUGUCAAAGUAAAUUUGUGAUUCCUUCUAUGAUUCUAGAUACUAAGUUAAGAAGAGUAUAACUGGUUUUAAGAAGAUUUUUUAAUCUGACACUUGGUCAUAACAGCCAACAGCCUUGGAGUGUGAACUGGAGACGUUAUAUACUUGAUCAUAACAGCCAACAAAUAGAUUUUAUAAAAAGGGUGUAAUCUGCAUUCUCUGUGUUUAUGAUCUCAGUGUCUUGAAGGAGGAUACUUUAGCUUCGGAUUCAGCAUUUCAUCCAUUAUCAGUCUUAAACAUGUGGAUAUGAUUCACGAAGUCAGGUUCUUAGCCAAGGCCACUUCCUGAUGUUUAGAGGUCGAAUCAUUAUAAUGCAGUGAAAUUUUAAACUUGUAGCAGUAAUUUUUUGUAGACAAAACGUUCUUGAAUGAGAUAAUUUUUCUGCCUGUAAUGUGAAUGUAGAUCCUAGAAAUUAUCUCUUGAAUAUUCAAUCUACAAAGAACCAUGAACAAUGUAUUACAAAGCCACAAACAAAAGGGGGAAAAAAAACUGGAUACUAGUAGUGUUUUUUUUAAUGUCAAAUUCAAGAAAUGUUAUGUAAAUACAGCAUCAGGAGCAAGCUUAAAAGUUCAAAUACAGAGGCAAAUAACUACUUUAAUCAUUCAUUACUAAUUACAUCAGAAGUGAAUCAACGAAGUGAAAUACAACUCAAUAAAAGAUGCAUUGUCCAAAUAGAAUGAAAUUAUAUAAUGCAGUUCACGUGAUCAGAUUUAGGAAUCACACAAAUGCAAGGAAAGGUAUAAUUAUUUCUUCAAAAUACCAACCAAGAAAAAGAAAAAAAAAUAAAAAAAAAAUUGCAGCCCCCUGUAUGCAGAAUGUCUGUAAAUAAUGCAAUCCAGGAUCAGAAUCAUCAGAAUCCCAAAACACUCACUUUUUGCAAUUGAAAGCAAGAGAAGCCUUCGCAAGCUUCUGUUUCUACCGUGAGAGUAAGCGGUAAGCCACUCACUCAAUCCUCAUCAACUCAUCCUUCAAAAAGCCUCUACUAUUCCAUUUGUUAUUAUUAUUAUUUAAUUAAUUUCACAAAUAUUAGGGGAGCAAAUGCGAUUCAUAAGUAGCAGCAGUAAAUUUAUUUUUUCUUUAAAUAAAAAAACAAAUAUCGAUCAUAAUCCAAAUCCCACAACACAAUUCAAAUCGUCGGAUGUCCAGAACCAUCAAGUUACAGAAAACUUCAUUUGACGAAUAUAAUGCAGGAAGAACGUUGAAUGUAAAGGAAAAUGCGCUUACCGUUGAGUUGAGCAGUAAAAGAUAUUUGAGAAUCCUCCCCUAGACGGCUUCAAUAUAUACAAAAUAUUUGAGAAUCCUGCACUUUGUUCGCGAUUGCUGAGGUGAUGGGUAGAUGCGUGGCAGAGCGAUGCCGGAGACGGUGGUGGAAGAGGGAAAAUGUUAGGGUGGAGGUGAAGGGGAUGACGCAGAGCAAUUAGAUUAGAGGUACUUGCGGUUGAGGAAAAGUGUCUAAUUAGAUAGCGAGAGAGGGCCGCUUACCUAGUUGACCCGGUUUUAAUUUUUUACCCGCUAGGAUCCGCGUACUAACCCGAAUAGGAGGUGAAAUUAUGGAAUUAGAAUUGUAAUUCUUAGGUCUUACCAAAGAAUUGAAUUUGUGGAAUUGAUGGCUCAUAGAAUUCAAAUUGAAUUCUAAUUCUCUCACAUAGAUAGCGUCCAAACCGAAGAUUUGGAAUUGAUGCUCCAAUUCUAAUUCUAAGCCUCCAAUUCUAUGGGAACCAAACACACCCUAAAUCUUGUUACUCAAUGUCACUGAACAUGGACAAUUCGCUUUUCCAUUUGGCUAAGACUCAUGAAUUCGGCAUUAAAUAUGAAUCAACAAUAAAUCAAGAAAUGACCCCUAUAUAAAGGACCACCACCAACCUCACAUCACUGCAUAAUAGUUGAUAGUUGACUCUUGAUAGGUAAAGCAAGAAACACCGGGCAGACCUAAUGGUCCUAAUCCUAUUCACCAUGAAACCCCACCAAAGCCACCAACCAUAUGAUAGGUGUCUUUGAUGUAUGUAUAAAGUAUUCAGGGUUGCAGGCAUAUGUUUGAUCUUUUGAUCCCUUGCAAUAGUAAUACCUAAUGGAACUGAAAUUCCCUUGUAAUAGUAAUACGUCUUGGUUUUGGAGUAUAUAUGUUUGAGUUUGAUGCGAUUGUGUAUGGUUGCUAUAUAUAUAUAUAUAUAUAUAUAUUGUAAUUUUUGUGGACAUCUAGAAAUCAAAUUAUAUUUAUACAUUGAGUUGAUACGCACGAAAAAACUUAUGCGUAUAACAAAAUUAUAUGAUAAUACACUAAAUUAUGUAAGAAAUAUAUAUACCAAACCUAUAAUCGCAUAAAAAUCUCAACUGUACUUCCCUGUACGUGUCUCCAUGCAAAAGGAAUUCUUGAACAUGGAGGAAAGCAACAUCACUCGACGGGUUUAUCAAACUUAGAAGAUUAGAUAAGCAUUUCCAUCAUUUGACAAAUUGUCUCGAAUUGAAAUUGUUGACAUUCAUGAACCCUGUAAAACCAUAUAUAUGCGUCCUGAAUUUGGAUAAGGCAGGCUUAGUAAGUCAUAGAUUAGACACAAGAGUGACGGAUUAUCCCUAAAUGAUACUAUACAAAUAUACAAUACAAGUUUCAAUCCAAACCCACUUUUUCUGCAUAUAUAUAUAUAUAUAUAUAUAUAUAUAUAUAUAUAUAUAUAUAUAUAUAUAUAUAUAUAAUCUUUAUUUGUGUCUUUUGUUGUAAAGGUCUUUAGUGCAAUUAUAGAGAGGCAGGCACAGUUGUGGACAUUGCGACUAGGGCAAAACUUUCAUUACUAAGCACAAAAUUGUGUAUCCUAAUUGGUAGUUGAGAAUUAUGAUUCGUGAGAGAUGUGACACAAUUAGUGACGUCUCAUUCUACUACAAUAUUGCCUGCCUUUACACAAAAGCCAUAAAAAAAGAUAGAUUAAAUCUUAUAUACACGGUAGGCUAAUACGCUAUCAUAGUUAGAUGAACGACACAUGAGCAAAUUUUGAAUUUUAAAUUUAAAUUUUACACAUGUGUCAUAUAUCUAACGGUGAUAGUAUAUACACUGACAAUAUAUAUAAGAUUAGUAGAGUUUUGGUCCAAAUAAAAAAAAGUAAAAUAGAAAAAAUAAUAAUUGUAUCGUAGUGAAGCAUAUACAGUUGACUAAGCAACUUAAUUUGGCCAUUAAGCUAGGAAGGUGCUUCUAUAAGGUGGAUUACGCACUUACAAAGUUCUUUUCCAUACUUGACUGAGCAUGAUUAUACAUAAUUAUAUGAGACUCAGCUAGAAUUUAUGAUUGUUAAUUAGGUGUAGCUGCCCUUUGGCCCUCUUUUGUCUUUAACAUUCAAAAAUUUACUUAUUACCUUUCUCCUUCUAUUAAUUGCAUUGUCAAACUCGUUUAUUAUUAUUAUUUUUUUUUUGCAAUUUAAUGAUAGUUUACCAACGCAUUUUUCAUGAACGCGCAUAUACUACUCCUCAUUAUCGCCCUAAGACAUGGUUAAUUAGCAAUAUUAAUUACCAAAAACGUGGCAUAUAUAUAUAUAUAUAUAUAUAUAUAUAUAUAACAGUUAUCAGUCACAUCUUCUGACUUCAAAAUGUGAACAUAACUUUUAUUCUGUGAAUUAGUCAAAUGUGUCCUUAUCUUUCCUCGCAGGCUCCAAGUAUACAUUUCCUGAUCAGCUAUGAUGUGCUUUCGGCCGAAACUGCAAUUGUUAUUGUGAUGCACACUUGGAUUUUGCUUAUGCUCCUACUGCUAUCAGCAAUAGAUAUAAAGUGAUUACCCUAACUGGAAAGACUUUAGGGUCCAUAUAUUUUGUCUCUUUUCUUGAAGAGGAAAAUUGAUUCCAAAUUUUAAAUCUUCAACAACAGACACAAAGCAGUGACCAUAUAUAGGAAUCAUGGUUCUUUUAUUUUAAGCACAGUCUAAUGUAUUAAAAUCCCAACUUCUUUUUUUUCUUGGCCUUACAUUGGCCCCAAUUUGAAGUGAUUGUACUAGUAUAUUCAUUUCAUUAUUUCGUUGCUUUUCCAAGUUCAACAUCAUAUGGGAGCCAAUUAGAAUCAUGAGUUUGGAUAAUCUAACUAAGUAGUCCAACUUUUCCAACUUUGUACGUGUCAAUAAAUUCAUGGAAAACUAAAUUUCUUGGUUGAUUGAUCAAGUUUGUGAUGAUCACAACACUAGCUUGAUCAAUGCUCUCUAAAGACUAAAGGUCAGCCAUUCAUAUAUUUGAGAGAUGUUUUUAUUAUUAUUAUUUUUUUGACAAUUGGCUUUAGAGACAAUUAUAUAUGCACCGCCCAGAGGACCAUGGCGGGUACAAACAAAAUCCACAAUAAUCAUUUUCCUAACUUUCCGACCAACACCUUGCGAUCACCGGCAAUGUAUUAAUCUGAACAUUGGGUAGAGGCAAAGGGGAACGACCCCAUUUGUUCGAAUUGCCUUUUGACAAAAUUGAUAUAAUAAUCUUUUCAUCAAAUUUGGAUUUCUGAAUUAAUUGAUGACACGAAUUUGGUUAAUUAGUCUGCCAAGAAAAAGAUAGCAUAUGGCCUUCAAAUUGAAGUUCAGAUGUUGUAAGAAUGCUCUCCUAAAGUAUUCGAUAAACAAGCAUACAUUGACCAUUUCCAAAACAUGGCAAAUUAUAAUGCAAAAAAUCUCCCAAGACUCCCUAACUUAUCUGUAUCCAACCAAAAAAAAAAAACCAUCGACUAUUAGCUAGACUACAAUUGCAAAAAACAAACUUACACGACUCUCUAACUUUGUUAAGGCACCAAAAGAAAAAUUGAAAAGAUCAACUGUCUCUUCAUUUGCCGCCACGCCAUAUUCACCAAGAAAACUACUAUUGCUUACACGUUUUACAAUCUAUUUAAAACUUUGGCGCCGCCGCAGCAUGAUAAAUUGUUGUCUUAAUUAUAUUGCUUCACAGGGAAAAGGGGAAAAAAUGGACAGUGUUAUCAUGAGCCUGUGAUGUGUUCUAGCGUAGGGUUCCAUUAUGUUCAUGCAUCACAACAAGAAAUACAGGCGUUCUAUUGGGAAUUUUCCCAUGAGAACAAAAGAAAGAUUAACUGAAAAGCCAAGAACUAUGACUUUUACGAUAACAACAAAGUUGAAAAAGUCUGGAGGGUCAACAGGUUAAGAACUAAAAAGCCCUUUUGAUUUUUGACAAGGUGAACAGCAUGGUCAACUACAAAUGAGGGCCGUCCCACCAAUGUAAGCUUUUCUUAUAGGAUUUCCAAGGAGGACACUAUCUAAUUUACGUGCUAUCUAGCUAAUUAUGCCGACAGGGCACGUGAGAUUGAGGCGGAUAAUUUCUAAUCAAGUGCCAGUUGGAUAAUGCUUCAUUUUUUGUGGAAAAGAUCUGAGUGUGAUGCACCGUGCGGUCUAAUCAGAGCCACUUGUCGAUUUGCGGUUUUCUUAUGUUGCGGUCUUGGAUUGAUUUUACGUUAGCAAAAUGUGGAAAAACACUAAGGAGAGUACGUGUGUGUGUGUGUUUGUUUGGCAGCACUAGUGUGAUUUAGAAAAUUAAAAUUAUACUAAAUAAGGUAUCAGUGAUAGAGAUGGGUAGCGAUGAUGGACGACGGAAGUUACCAAUAGUAGGUGACGAGUGGUGGAAGGAGGGGGGAGAGGGGUGUUUUGGAGAAAUACAAACAUUUUUUUUUUAAAACUGCUAUAUUGAAUUACAAUAAAGUUUUAGACAAUUUUACUUAAGUCUCUCUUCUCUCCCUAUGCUUCUUAAAUCGUACUCUUUUACUAACAAAAAUUUUAAAAAAAAGUUUUAAAUAGACAUCCAAAAAUACAUUAUAUAAGCGAAUCGAACAUUUUCGCUACCCAAAAUAACUAUUGUGAACACAGUUUACGAUAUUAUUAUUAUUUUUUGUUCAAUAGUACUAAAAGACAAUCCUGGUCUAACAAUAUUGGUUUUUUCAUGUUAGGAAAUUGGCUUAAUUUCUUUUAGGUGAAUUUCUUAUUUUGUGUGGAAGUAACUAGUUUCCUAAUUGGAUUUAGUUACUUGAAGUAGUAGUCAAGUAAAUUCCUAUUUAGCUAGAUACUAUUUUCUACUCUAUAUGAGUUUAGGAAAUAGUAUUGGUUUCCAAUUGUUAUUUGGUUUUUUGGCACUAAUGUUCUCUAUAAAUAGAUAGAUUGGCAUACUACAAAGACACACAAGAAAGGAGUGAGAGAGUUCUUAGUGGGUGAGAGGGUUAUACAAGAGUUGGGGCUUGGGAAUCAAGUUGUAAUCUUGUGGUGUUUUUCUCAUAGUAAGAACAAGUUUUUCUCUCUGUGAAUGUAGGUUUGGUGAUUAAGCCGAACCACGUUAAUUCUUGUGUGUUGUUCAUCGUUCAUGCUAGAUAUUGUUUUCUAUUAAAUUGUUGGUCUUUUUCUUUUCAAAUAAUUGGCCUGAUACCCCAACAUUUCACAUAGCGAGAAUUUGUGUGAAUCUGCUACCAUUUAUAAUAGUCGAGGUAACUAUAGGAAAAGAGUAAUGGCUUGCAGUAUGCAAGCUUAAUAUUAGAUAACACAAUCCUUGUUUUUGCAAGUUCUAGUUAAUAGUUCCGGUUUGCACUCCAACUGCAAGAAUUUUAGCAUUUUUAAAAUGCAUCCAGGAGGGAACUACAAGAAUCUUUUCUUGACAAUGUUCUGUUUCAGCCCAUGUACGAGGAAUUUUUCAUACAGAUUACAUAAAGGGCUUAUUUACUUUCGCAAAUCAUCCUCAUUUCUCGACCAAAGCUAGCAAAAAAGAAUGUCGCCACGCGAAAGGAUCAGUAGUUGGUUGCCUUUAGUGAGUUCAGUUAAAGCAUUGUGCCAUUUGACGUGGAAAAAGAAUCUACAAGGGCUUAAAGUAGUAAGGUUUUAUCUGGUUCCCAGGUUGAGAUUGGCCCUAACACGAUGAGCAGAAAAAGUUGGUAAAGGACUUUGGAUGAAAUGACUCAUCAGCUGCCCCUUGCAAAUUCCAAUCCACUACUAGUUGAAGUAGGAGGAAUGCAAUACUUGACUUGAAUUGGGCUAAUAAGUGCUCAUUCGGACUUUUUUUUGCUAACUAAUUAAGUUAAAUAAACAACAUUUAUUGUCUGUCAAAGUAUUAAACUCGACUCGACUUGAUUAGUAUUAACUUUGAAAUCGAUAUAUGUAAAAAAUUUAGACUAUUCAAAAGUGGACUUGAUUAGCAUAAACACAUAUGAAAAAUGUAGACUGUUAAAUCAGUUUGAUAAUAAAAACUCAUUUUAGUUCAACUUAAUGAAUAAACGGUUCACAUUUAAGCAUAAUUUUAAGGGAAAAUGGUUUGUUUCAUCUCUCACAUUUUACAAAAAUAUUUUUUUUCAUCCCUCACUUUUAAAAUAAAACAAAUUCAUCAUUGACAUUAAAAAACUGAAACUAUUACAUCCAUGAAGUCAACUUUCAAUCCGAAUCUAACUACCCAUCAAUCCUAUUACAAAUUUUGAGAAUAUAGUUAGUGGCAUAUCAUUUGGUUCACUCAACUUAAUAUUCAUGUGAAAUUUAAUGAAUCCAAAAAGGAAAAAUAAAAAAAAAAUUAUAACAUAAAAAAAGAUUAAUCUUUCCUACAUUGUUAUUGUAUAUACUGACGAGUCUAGAUACUUGUCACAUCAUUUCAAUUUAAAUUUAAACACCCACCUUUUAUGUAUGGUAUACAUCUAGACUCGUAAAUGUAUAUACUAACGGUAAGAAACCUUACCAUUCCAAGUCAAAAAAAUGGCCUGUUUAUGUUAUAAUUUUUAAUUUUUUCCUUUUUUUUGGUUCAAUAAAUGUCAUGUGAAUAUGAUCGAGUUGAUCGAGUGAUCUAUCAAUUUUAUCCUCGAAAUUUAUUAUUGGGUUACUAGAUGGUUUGAUUCAUAGUAAUAGUUGGAUUCAGGGAUGUAAUAGUUUUAAUUUUAAAAUGUUAGGGAUGAAUUUGCUUUGUUUUAAAAGUGAGGGAUGAAAAGAAUAUUUUUUUAAAAUGUGAGAGAUGAAACAGAUCAUUUUCCCUAAUUUUAAUUAAACUUGUGAAAAAUAAGUAAAUAAACUUAAACACUAAAUUGUUCAUUUGAUUAAAUUUGGACUUUGCACAAUGCUUGAUGCUCAUAAGAGGAUAUGUCCUUAAAUUUUUAUAAAGGGAUGGAACAAAUAUUAUGGUAAUCAGUAGUAACUCUAGCUAGUUUUAAGUUGAGCAUUCCCUAGGACCUUUGCUUAUCCGAAUUUGUAAGCGUCAAAUCAUAUAAAAGUGUUUGAAACUUUGAAUCAAUCAAGAACUUUAGUAGGAGUUCUUGAGAGACUAAAAUCUAUCUACCUGUAAAUUAAUAUUAAAAGAUAAGCUCUUCAAUUAACACAGUACGAAUGAUUACAAUUUUUUUCGAGCAAACGAACAAUCUGAUGCAGGAGUUUUGUCGGAUUGGUACGUGGGUUAAAUAAAUAAUCGUACCUCUUAACUACAUGUUCUCCCCCACUAUUCUCCGUUUCUCUCCUACUCUCCUGAUGAAUCUUUCCGAGUUCUUAUAUAUGUAGCCAGAGCUGUCAGAUUAAUCUUCCACCCAAUUAACCACUGCACAUAUCAUUUCUUCCAGUUAGCUCAAGCUAUCAGGGUUCCUUAGUCUUGUUCUCAAUAAUAUUUCGCCCUCCAUUUUUCCAUGGCUUGUUCUAUCAUUGCAAGGUUAACCGCCCUACCGUAUUUCUUCAUGAUCAUUAUUCUCUUUGCUUGCUUCUUCACUUGUGAUUUGGAAGCACGGGUUCUUGUGGCUGAUCAUCACGAGGCUAUUUCCACGAUGCAUGAAAAGUUGAAACCUGACAGCCAAGUUCUUCUGAUGAGAAUAGGCUUCAGCCCUUCACAGCUUGAAUAUUACAGAAGAAGGUCACUUAAUGAUAUUGAUCGAGUGGCUCCUGGUGGACCAGAUCCUCAUCACCAUGCGUGAUUAUCUACAAUAUCCUUUUCUAUAUCUUUUGUCAUUUUGUUUUUUGGCCCAAUUCUUGGGUUUUCAGUGGAGGGUUUGGCAGGAUUGAUAUGUUGUUAGAGAAGAAGAUCAGAAUAUUGGUCGUGCAUGUUUGCUUUUCUUGAUGAACCACCGUUCAUCAUCGUUUCGGCUGAAAUCGGGUAUAGCAAAUAUUUGCGCGCAACGCUCAUUUUAAUUCAUUGUUGUCAUUUCAAGAUUCUGUCCCUACAAUGUUUCUGAUUAGAUCUUUCUUCUUUUUGUGUGUGUGCGCGUGCGGUUUUUUUCUUUUUCCUUUUUUUACCUUAUUUUCCUUUGUCUUUACUUUGCAUGCAGUCAUGUGUACAUUUCAGUGAAGAAAUAACAAUAAUAACCUUUUCUCUCUCUCUCUCCUUUUUUUUUUUGAUAGAAUGGGCGAGAUAACAAUAAUAACUUCAUUUUAUUAUAGAAGAAACAUCUCGAGAGAGUCCAAUAUAUAAGUCAAUAAUUUAAUUUUGAUUUAAAAACUUAAGUUAUUAGGCCCCAAACUCUUACUUACAUAUUAAGUGUUUUUUCUCCGUCUCUCGAAUCAAUAUGGGACAUAAUCCUUUACUUAUAAAUCUAAUAAUUUUGCAUGGAACAUUUAUGGAAUCAACAAUUUAUUGUGGUAAAAAUGAACCAGAUCAUAUAUAAUUGUUUUUUGUACAAGGAUAGGAGAGGACUUAAUUUGGGUUCUCUACCUUGUGUGCUUCUAUGCAGUUAAUCGUGAACUUUAUGAUUAACAGUAUAUGAAUAUCACAUUUUCUAAGCUCACGAGAGCCAAAAAGUAUUUUUGAAGUAAUUAAAAAGAUUUAAUCCGAAAACUCAUACCAGAAGAAAUAGAAACAACAUACAGAAAUCCACAUUUCUCUCCAGAUUGAGAGCAAACUAUACAAAAUUAAGUUGUCACUAAUCUUCUAACUAACAAAAUGUCAUUUUAGUCAAGUAAACAAAUUGGAAUAUCAGAACUCAUAAUAAUAUACAUAAUCUGUUUCUUUUAUUUGUAAGAUUUAAACUAUACAUGAUAUCUUAGUAAAGCGCUUAUAACCUGGUCAAUCAAUCUCUAAAUGAAUUCAAUCAUCCAACAAGUCCAUCUACUUACAGCCAACCAGUACUCCAGUUUAAUCAUCCUAAAAUGAUAACUGGUUAAUGAAACAAUACUAGUUUUCCCUUUGAAACUAGCAAAUUCCACAGCCAAUGUUGACUAAUUAAUUAAUACAUUUGUUUUCCUCCCAUCAAAUUGAACAGGUUCUACUUUGGUCGUACAAAUCCACAACAGAUGCCUCUAUUAAUCUCGUACAGUUUGCCGCAUUGAUUACAAGAACGAUUUUUGAUGUGUAAACGUGUCCCUUUUGCAUGGAAGAAGAAACAUGACUUAGCUGCAGUUAGAUGCAUUAUCUCUCAAGUUUCUCCAAACUUGAUAAGGUAAAACCAUAAACGGAUUCUUUUAAAAGUUUAGAUACUAAAAAAAAAAAGAAAAAUUGAUUCAAUUUAUAUUACUAUAUAGUUCUUAUCAGUAAAUAAAUCACCUUUACGCAGGUUGUCCAUGUCAAUGCCAAGUUGUUAAUUUUAUUUUUACUAGGCACGUAUAAAAUUCAUAGCAUUAAUUUCUUGAUACUGCUGCAAUUUAUUCCUGUCACAAUAAGAAGCUAGGGAGGCCACAUCUAUGGCAAAGGCACUAGAAUGGCUUCAUAAAGAUUAAAGAGCUUCUUCUUGAAGAACGUUUGAUGAAGAUCCUAACUAUAUAUGCUCAAAACGAUAAGCAUGGUGUUGACUAGUGUAAAUGGAUAGAUUCAGAGAGUUUCAGCCAAUUGGAUGCUCUUGUGAGAGAUAAGCUAAACAAUUUCAACAUGAUCAUAAUUAAAUGAGGGACAAAGUCAAAUCCAUGAGUAUAUAAGGGAAAAGUAUAUACAGUACAGGAGUUAUAUUUGUUAACACAAAAACCCCCCUUUAACUUAGUCAGAUAAUCAAGGUGCUUUAUCCAUUUGUGACUUGUACCCUAUGUCCUAAGUGAUUCUUGUCCUUUUGCACCAGCCAAAAGUUGAUGAAAAAUGAUUGGAUUGGUAGCUUUUAAAUGUGGUUUCGGACAUUCGAAAAGUUGCUAAUAUUUAAUCAUAUGGACAGCAAAACUUAGGGUAAGAGAAAAAAAAAUAACGAAAGAAAGAUGGCAGGAAUUCAUUUUCUGCAAGCAGGGAUGUGGAAUGGGGACUGUGAUUGUUGUUGCCAGGGGGAUAGUGGAAGAGAAAACAAAUAUUAGUGGCAUCUACGCAUAUCUUGCCAAUGCUAGGUAAACAAUUGCAGGAGGGUUGUGAUAGUUAAGCUUAAUCAUAGAGAUCUCAAAUCCUCAAUCUGAUUUAUAAAUUUAUGAGUUUUUUAAUGAGUAAUAAAUGUUUUUGAGGCCCUUGAUGGAUCACUUUCAAUCAUAUAAUAAGUAGCAAAGAUCCAUGCUAGGCAUGGAUCAAUACUUUAUCAAAAGGUUUAGUUGGGAAAUUAUUCAUGUAUGACACACAUACAGUACAACAGAUAGAAUAAAAUUGAAAAAAAGAAAAACAAAGGUGAAGCACCAUUCUAAAGAUAACAAUGAUCCAUGUGACUAUAAGUCAUAUACAAUGUCCCAAACAAUUUGGCAUUGAUGUUUAAGCAACAUAUUUGCACUACUUUUGGUCUUCUCUUAAAAUGGGAUGAAUUGAUAAAGGGAGAAAAUAAGUGUAAUAUGAAUUUAUAAAUGAGAGUGAUCUUUACUCAAUACGAACUUAGCGGCGCUAGAUUUAAAUUUGCGUAUCUUAAAUUUCAUCCCUUACCAGCUAAACAUAAAAAAGAAAAAAAAAAGUGUAAUGUGGUAUUACCUAUUUGUGCAAUUAUUGUUCAACCAUGCAAAUGUUUAAACCAACAAGUAUCAAGUUUGUUUGUGCAUAUCUACCUGCAAAAUAUUGCUGAGAAAUUAUCUGACCCAAAAAAAAAAGAAAAAAUGAAAUCAAUAUGGGCUAGGCCCAGCCCAGUUACUAUUCCCUGUAAGUGGCUCCCAACUUGGAUAGGACCACAAAACAAAAAGCAACCUACAAUUCUCAUCUGUUAUCAACGCGCCACCAUGGACGCGUUGGUCAACCAAAAAUCUUCCCACCCCAUUCCUUACUGGACCCAUCAUCUAACAAUCUCAACCGUCAAAUUCUCACCCCGUUGUACCGCAGCAGAACUCCCAACCGUUAGAUGAGCGUUUAAAUAUCACGCUCCUCAUCAGCGCGUGAAAUUCCUCGUCCACUCCCCUCACCCAGCUCUCUCACUGUCCUUCUUGGCUUCUUCUUUCUCAACUCACCCCAGAUUUCUUCCCCAGGAUCAUAGUUAGGAAAGAGUGUGAGGAUUCAUACUCAAGCUGUGUGUGAUAGUGUGUGAAAGAGAGAGAUCUCGAGAAAAAGGUAUGGCUUCUGUUCCUAAUUUAACUUUUGGGAAAACCCCUCAAGGAUUUCCCUGUAGUUAUUGUUUAUGUGUAUGUGUAAAAGGGUUUAAUUUAACUUUAGCAGUGUAGAGGACCCAAAAAUAUAGAAUUUGGGUUCUUGUGAAAUGGGGUUAAUUGUAUUUUAAGAUUGUAGAGAACCAAAGUAUAGAAAUAGGGUUUCUUGUAAAAUUGUGGGCUUUUGUGUUUAUGCAUGCAGCAGCUAAUUUCGAGGUAAAAGAUUGAAUUUUUCCCGGUGAAGAAAGUGAAGCUUGGGAUUUAUGUGUGUGAGUUGUGUUUAUGCAUGUGCUUUUUGUAUGUAGAUUAGUUGAAAAAGAUUAAAUUUCUAGGGUUUUGGGAGGUGGAUAAAUGGCUUCUGGAACAACAGUUGGUGGUGGAGACGGAGAAAAAGAAGGGUCUAAAGAGAAGCAGAGGUGGGCUGAAGAGAGCAAGGUGUAUAAAAGGAAGUCUGUCAAAGGGUUAAAGGAUAGUAGUGACAAGAACAACAGUUAUGGUGCCCAGCUGGGGCAAAGUCAAACUGGGAAACUUGGGAGUGAAGAUGGGAAUCUGUUGGAAGAACCUGUGUUUGGUGUGGCGUCCGGUGACUCAUCGAGUCGUCCACUGGGAGAUCGUGAAGUGUCUGGGAGAAAUGGGGUGGGGAAAGGUGGGUUUCUGAGGCAAGAAAAUAAGGUCACCAUCAAUUUGGCGAUGAAGUCGAAAAGGGAGGCACGGGAGCUGAGGAAAAGGCUCGAGAGCGAGUUGGACGAGAUUAGGAGAUUGGUGAAAAAGAUUGAAGGGCAGGAGGGGAAAAAGAGCAGUAAAGCUGGACGUGGUGUUGAUAAUGGUGGGAAGUUGAAACGGGUCCAUUCCGAGGUGGAUUCUGUUGGAACGCCUCGCAUUUCCAAGCCUUUGCAUCAGUUGAGCGUAUCAGUGGUGGAGAACAGCAAUGACAAUGGGGAUAAAGAGAAACGGACGCCCAAGGCAAAUAAAUUCUACAAGAAUACAGACUUUUUGCUUGCAAAGGAUAAGUUUCCUUCUGCAGAAGGCAACAAGAAGUCUAAAUCUGGUGCUGGGAAGAAAGCUGGAGGGGGUGAAUCAGGACAUGGGUUUGUUUCAGGGAAGUUUUCUAAUCAAAUGUUGAAGAAUUGUAGCUCUUUGCUUGAUCGAUUGAUGAAGCAUAAGCAUGGAUGGGUGUUCAACAAACCUGUUGAUACUGUGCAUCUUGGUUUGCACGAUUACUUUGACAUUAUUAAGAAUCCAAUGGAUUUGGGUACUGUAAAAGCUAGGCUUAGCAAUAACGGGUAUAAAUCUCCUAAGGAGUUUGCAGAGGAUGUGAGACUUACAUUUCAAAAUGCUAUGACAUAUAACCCUAAGGGGCAAGAUGUUCACGUGAUGGCUGAGGAGCUAUUAAAGAAUUUUCAGGACAAAUGGGCUGCUAUUGAGGCGGAAUAUAUGCAUGAGAUGAUGCAUGGCCCGGAUUCUGAAGUGGGUUUACCGACUCCUAAAUCUAAGAAAGCUCCUCCAGCAGUAAUGGAACCUCCUGAAAUGAGGACUUUAAGCAGGUCAAAGUUUAUUAGCAAUCCUGUUGAUCCCAAAACCAAAACCAUGAUUUCUGCUGGUUCAGGGAGAACUGCAGCCCCAAAAAAGCCAAAGGCAAAAGAGCCCAAUAAAAGGGAAAUGACAUACGACGAAAAACAAAAACUUAGCACAAAUUUGCAGAGUUUGCCUUCUGAAAAGCUUGAAAAUGUUGUGCAGAUUAUAAAGAAGAGGAACCCUUCUCUGUGCCAAAAUGAGGAUGAGAUUGAAGUUGACAUUGACAGUGUUGAUACUGAAACUCUUUGGGAGCUGGAUAGAUUUGUAACAAACUUCAAGAAGAGUCUGAGCAAGAACAAACGAAAAGCUGAGCUUGCCAAUCAAGGAAAGGGAGAAGCAGCCCGGAGUGUUCCAGAAAAGGUAAGCUAUUGAAAUUUCUAUUUGAUGCCUUUCUGUUGUUAAUUUCGGUGGUUAUAGGCACUUAGCUUCCGUUUUCUGCAGGACCUUGCCCCAGCUGCAGCAGAAACUCUGAAAGAAAGGAAGAUGGGUAAGCUAUCUGAGCUCAAGUCUCCUUUGCUCUUGAAAUAACGGCAAACUUGGUUUUCAAACAUAGUGAAGUUAAAUGUGUUUUCUGAACAGAAGCUAAGAAAAAUUAUUCAUCUCAAACUGAAGUGGAAAAGAAGAGAGAUAAUGCAAGUCGAUCAACUAACUCAAGCGGCUCGAACGCGGACUCGGGAUCUUCCUCAGGGGGUAUUGCUAAUUCUUACUUUGUAUUUUCUGUCUGGAGAUUCAUGAUUACAAACUUAUCUCCAAAGUGAGAGAAUGUUACUGAAUUGUCUUCUCACUUUACAUUUUUUGGCAGACUCUGAUAGUGGAAGUGCUUCAGAUGGAUCCGAUGCAUGACAUUGAACUAGGAAUUAGAGUUACUUGUCAAUGUAAGAUAAGUUUCUUUGUGGAUUUAUUUAUUUGUCAUUUCAUGGAUCGUGGAAUUGAAUCUGCUUUUAUUGAUUUCUCUUGUUUCCUUGCUCAUAUUUAAUUAAUUUUCUGUUAUUUAUCGAAGCACGAACCUGUUGUUGUUUAUGUUAGCCUUUUCUUUAAUGUUUCUAAUUCUCUUUGUGAAUUUUGCGUGUUGUUCACUUUUAUGGUUGCUGGCUUUACUUGAGUUUAACUUAAAACUUAAGAAUGCUCAUUAAGAUCUAGAUAUGAUAGUUAAGCAUGUAAAAAGUGCACUUGUAAACAAUAAAUGUCUUAAUUGCUUUAUAAUUUCCAAAUUACUGGGAAGUUUGUAGAUCAUGAGAAAAGAUGAUUGUGCUCUUUUGCUCUAUUCAGCAAUGCAUGGUAGUUAAACUUUUUUUUUUUUCGGAGCAUAUAUUGAGCGCAUCGAAUUUGUCUAUCUACAAUUUGAAAGUGGCAUUUUCCUAGACAAUAAUACUGCAGUAUCUUGUUUAUGCUUUAGAAGCUGCUGUUGACACUCCCCAAAUGUUGAUAAUUCUGGAGUGCCUGUAAAGCUGUCAAAGAUUGAGGGAAGAGGAUAGAGAUUUCAUUAAAUUCUUUGUGAGUGGAUAUUAACACAAGUGUGAGAUAUGACUUAUCAAACAAAUUAUUGUGACUUGUACAGUUUUUGCUUUAAGAGGAAGUGCUGGUCAUUGUUAAACAGUCUGCAUGACUUUACGUGUGAAAUGACUUUCCUUAACUAGUUAAAUGAAAAGAGGGAAAGGUAGGAAUAUGCAAAACUUAAGCAUGAAUGCAAGUGUAACAAACUAGAGUUCAGCUAAAUAUAGAUAUGUAGGUUUGUGGUAUAAUGAUGGAAGCUUUAUUAAAUUUACUUCCUUUGUUGGCUCCAACACUGUGGCACUUCUUUUACAUUUUUUAAACUGGGAAGUUAGUUAUGGAGGCUGUAGAGAUCAACAUAAGUCCGUUGUUCCUUGAGCUUUAUAAUGGUCGAUCAGCAUUUUCGGUAUAUAUCAUCUUUCUAUCUUAGUAUCUUCCAUAAGCGCUCAAAGAAUCCCAAAUGUUUAAUCAACAUAUACACCAUGUGGCUGCAAGCGCUUAUUUGAGUGCUCUCCUUUAGCUUUAAGAUAGCACGAGCUUGUGAACUAAACCAGUGAUCAAGGUGCAGUGAUAUUUAUGAGCAUCAGAUCUAACAGGUGUAGGAAACACUCUAUUAUCAAGCUAUCAAGCAUUCAGCUUUUUCUUAUUCUUUCUGUACUAGAGUGUUGGUAAGAACUUGUACCUACUGUUAGGAAUUAUCUAUACUACAUUAGUUUCCAUGUUUGUAAUGCCUACUUUCGCAAAAGUCAUCUUAGGUGAAAGUAGUGCAGUUAGAACGUAAUACCUGUAGGUCGAGUAAUUUGGUCCUCUCUGUCUCUCUCUCACACACACAAAGCACACACUUUUCUUUUUUAUUGUUUCUCUUUCUGUUUUGAUUGUCAUGGUUAUGGCGAAUGCCUGAAUGUUAAUUUGAAGUUUGGCUCGUUUUUGUCUUCAAUAAUUCCAACAGGAUUGUGGCCUGAUUGAUGCUGCUAUUCCUUUUCAGGUCUCAUUUUGUUUUAACGAAGAAUCGUGCUCAAGUCUAAUAUUCAUGUUUCUACCAUCUUGCCUAGAUUUAUUGUUACAAACCUGUGGCCGAGCUUGACUGCAUAUCGAUCUUCUCUUGAAACAAUGGUCUCCAUCGACAGUAAGCUGUUUUAGGUGAUGGUUUUAGCAACAGAUGUUUCUGGACAACCUGGAGAAUGAUGCAGAUGCUUCUUUAUUGUACAUUGUUGUAGCUUUUGUACAUAGCUAACUACUGCUGGCCAGUGUUCUGUGAAUUUGUCUGGUGGUUUACAGCAGCGUUGGAUAAAAUAUUUCGCAGUUAAAUGCAAUUGUAUGUAUGUAUUAGUAAUAGUGGUAUGCUGUCGUUGACCUAAGAGGCAUUCUUUGUGUAAAGUCUUGUUCUUGGUCUUGGAUCUUUCUUGAUAAGUUAAUUUCAUAUUGCCCUUAGCUUUACUGCUUUUACUAUCAAUACUCCUAUAAUAGCUCGUUUCUUGCUAACUCCAAUCUAAAUUUUGGCGUUCCCUAGAUUGAGUGGUACCAAAACUAAGGGUAAUCCUUAAAGUUUUGUUCAUGAUAUUCCUGGUUUGCUUCCUUAAACCCCAUCUGUCAGUCCCUCAUCCCCUCCGUUGUGUGGGAAAAGAAUGGAAAGCCCCCAAAUCCAGAAUGGUGGACGUUGCAACAAGCUAUCCUGCGUUUCCACCUUGAAUUCUCCAGCUGUUUGUGUCCCUAGAGCUUAGUUUAUCGCUGCUCAUUAUGUGGUAUUUGCAAUAUUAUUUACACCUACCAUAACACUUAAAACUUCUUUAAUUGAAAUAAAACUUAGUACCAUACCAAUUUGUCAAGUAGUAAUAAUCACGAGUAUUGCUAGAAAAAGCGACUUAACAUAUAUAAACAUAUCUCUUGGUACAUAGUAUUUCGUAUUAUAAUUCAUUACUCAAACUUAGUACGUCAUGUUUCAUAAUCUAAAUCAUUAUUCAACAUUCACAAGUAUUGUAUCAAUCGUAUUGUAUUAUCAAUCAUCAUGCAAUAUAUACAAUGCAUAAACUAUGUCAUGGGGUGUAAUUACGAGAAUUAGCUUAGACAUGAAUAUGCCUCCAAGAUCGAUCUCUGAGUUGCGGCGAGGUGACUUGAAUUUCCCCAUUUCUUGAUUACACCAACCCAUGGCUCGCAAUUUUUUUGAAUUGCUGUUCCUCUUAUUCUGCGCGCACCUUGCCGGUUGAUCUUCGUCAUGGCCCGCAAAUUGCAUCCUGUAACAGCGCUUGCCCACUAUUCCCUCCCAGUACCCUCCUCAGUCCUCACUGCCUUAUUUGAAGGAAAUGCAUCCGCUAAAACAUAGAACCAUGCUCUCCACUACUUUAAAAUGCACAUUUUGGUCAAACACUUUCCCAACACACAACCCUUUUAAUCCAAGAAAGCCUUUUUCUGCUUCUGCUGUAAAAUAUCCCAAACAAGAAGAAACGCCUGCACAAAUAGUACACUGGUCCGGUCUUAACAACUGGAGAAGUAGCCCUCUUAAUCGCAACCGUUUCUGGGGAGCCAAUGGCCCACAAACAUCCCCGAUACAACCAUCAUUCUCGAAUUCUGGAGAAACCGGCGACAGUGGUUCAAUUUUAUGUUCAAUUGACUGGGGCUGUUGCUCUUCUUUAGCAGAGAUGGGGGCUGUGGUGCUAUCUACAGCUGACCCUCUUCAAAAAUCAAAGCUUUCCCACUUGGCUUACUCCAGAUGGUGCCAGGAGAGCCUUCCUGUUGGAGUCUGUGAGGCACCCUCUAAGCCUGCUCGUCCCCAGAAUCCGCAACUGGUUUGUUUUCUGAGAGUCCUUUUGGCCAUUUUGGUUACGGAGACAUUAAAAAUUUGAUCUUUUUGUUGGAGUUUAAGAGUUAAUGUGAGGAAAAGCAGAUAUGUUUGUGUAUGAUAGUCAUGUUCUUGAUUGAAUUGGUGGGAUUGGAGUUGGAGUUUGUGCUUGUGCUUAGAUGGUAAUCCAUGUGUUUGGUGAAUUUGGUAUGCUGGAGAGUUUAGGAAUUGUCUUUAUUGAAGCUUAGUUUCCUCGUAGAGAAUUGGCAAUGUAAAUGUUGAAACAAAACAAUAUUAUUAUGGGAGCUGCAUGAAAUGCUCUCGCUGUUAAUAAUUGACACCACUCUCUUUGGGUUUGUUUUAAUUUAGUAACUAUACUGUUUAUUAGUGUGACAAGCUGAGUACACUGGCUGCUCUUAGGACUGGUUUACUGUAUGAAAAUGCAGGUAUCUCCAAAGGAGAUUCCAUCCCCAAAACACUCUGGUUUGCCUCUUAAUGCAUAUAUGCUGCAUAAUCUAGCUCACGUGGAGCUAAAUGCGAUUGAUUUGGCUUGGGACACCGUUGUUCGCUUUUCUCCUCAUUGUGAGCAUCUUGGAGAGGGAUUUUUUGCUGACUUUGCUCAUGUGGCUGAUGAUGAAAGUCGACAUUUUGCUUGGUGUUUACAGAGAUUAGAAGAGCUUGGAUUUAGGUUGGUAUGGUAUUUUUGUUUUUUGUGAUAAUUGUCUUUGUUCAUAUAGUGACUAACAGCCUCUAUCGUUCUUCUUCUUCUUCUUUUCUUUUUUUUUUUUUCGCCCCGAGCAGCUAUGGGGAUAUGCCAGCUCAUAAUUUGCUCUGGAGGGAGUGUGAUAAAACAUCAGAUAAUGUUGCUGCACGUCUGGCUGCAAUUCCACUUGUCCAGGUACUCUGUUGGAUGUAUCUUUUGCAUCUUUAGUAUCAUUUCAAAUUCAGAUGCUUAUGGGAUUAUGAUUUUCCAAAAUUAUUUCCGAUGUCCAUAACAGCUGUACCUGAAUGUAUUUCUCUUCUUUCAGAGUGUUCUAUGAAGAAAGUCUCAUACUGGAUAAUAUUAAAUGCCAAGACAUGUUUAAUGCUGCCUAACUGUAAGAAAGUUGUCGGGUUCCUAACACAAAAAGGCUAUCUAAUAUGGUCUUUGUGUCCUUACCAGAGAAGUUUCCCUUCCCCAACAGAAGCCUUAGGUGGCUGUGAAACUAGCUGCAUAUUAUUGCCCUAGGUCCACUCAACUAUUAGAAGAGCACUAGGGCCCCUGAAAGAGCUACUAUUUAAUCCCAAACUGCUCCCGACUCAGCAGUCUGGUAGAGAUGAAUUGCGAUGGAGUAGCAAUACCCUACCCUUUUUUUUUUGCGGAUUUCUAAAUUGACGGUUGAAACAAAAAGAGCAAGCUGAUUGACUUAAAUAGGACUAGUUCCACAUGGCAUGAUUCCAUAUUGAUUCCAACGAAGAGAAAUUUUCCCAGUUAGAUAUGCAGUUAGGAUAACGAAUGGUUCACAUCUUCUGUUCUGAUGUUCUAGGAGGCCAGAGGACUUGAUGCUGGGCCUCGGCUUGUGCAGAAAAUGGUUGGAUUUGGUGAUCUUAGGACUUCAAAUAUUGUGGCUAAGAUUGCCGAUGAAGAACUUGCGCAUGUUGCAGUUGGUCUUUAUUGGUUUCUUUCAGUUUGCCAGAAAAUGGGCCGUGCGCCUUGCUCUACUUUUAAAGGUCUAACACAGUUACACUUAAUUUAAGCAGACCUGUUGCAAGUCUUUCUCUAAAUAUUGUGUUACUUAUGUGGCAGUCUUGCUCAAAGAGUACAAUGUGGAGAUAAAAGGACCCUUCAAUUAUUCAGCUCGAGAUGAAGUUGGAAUUCCUCGAGAUUGGUAAGUGUGGGAAAAUUUCCCUUCAUUGAAUCCAAUUAACUUAAUGGGAAGCAGAACAAAUAAUUUUACUUGCUGUACAGGUAUGAUCCUUCAUUUUCAAGACAAGGACAUGGGAAAGACGGGCUUUCUGAGGUAUUUAAUUUGAAGCUUCAAUCUUUAUCAGGAAACUGAAAAUGCAUCUAUUUGAAGCAUAUGCUAUCACCUUUCUAAGUUUGUUAAUCGAAACCGCCUGCAGGUUUACGAUAGGUUAGCAUGCAUAAUUUCUAUGGAACAAGAAAACUCAAAGAUGGACGCGUCUCGUGGAUGAAUCUUACGUUAAGAAGCUGUAUAUAAUCUAACUUCAUGAAUGUCAAACCUCAAGUGGAACAGCAAAAACUUCCAUUGCCCUUCUAACUGGAUGGUGAUUAUCAAUCUUCUCUAGGAAAGCUGCCCUGCAAGGUCAUUGGUCUGGUUGUGAUGAAUUAACUUAGCUUCUUAGUGUUUUAUAAUUCCUGGUCCAGGAUUCCCAUGAUAGCACCAGCACAACUCAAAUCAAAGACAUCCUUGCAGGUUCCCUUCUCUUGGGGGGUUCUUUUACGUCAGGGAUGGAAGAUACUUCGGAGCUACAAUUCGCUCUAUAGUACUCGUGCGAUGAUAUACCUCUUAGCUGAAGUUAGCAAUUGAUGUGUAAAUUUUGUGUGACAUAACUAUUACUGCUGUUAUCUCAACACUUUCAUCUCCAGAACAAAAGAUGGACAGGAAUUAUUCCACAAAAAAGUCUUAAGGAAGUGAAAAGGAAAACUUUUCUCUAUUUGUUUUUCCAGCAAAGAAGGAAGAGACACCUGAGUGCGUCUACGUCACAUUAUGCUUGUCAAUCUGGAAAGUAAAUCUCUUGCUUACGAAGAAAUUAGCAUCUCGAACCUAAUUCUUGAUUCACGUGUCCCCCAACAAAUCCUCUUCAUGAGAUUACGUAUUGAAAAUUGCAUUAAACCCAUCAAUUAUCACCACCUGAUUGCUUACUAUGUUUAGUAUAGGAUGACACUUUAUAGCUACGUGUCCUAUUAUUCCCAUGCUCAAAGAAGAAAAGAUAAAGAGAGUUUUCUAGAGGGGACCGACCUUUGGCUUUGGGAGGCAUAAAUCUCACAAGAAUCAAGAAUUCAACAUCCAAAGAAAAAUCCCAGAUCAUCAAGGACUGAAGAAAACAUCACAAAGAAAUGUGCUGUGGAGAUGGAGAUUGUAGGCCUUUGGCCUUCCUAUUAAGCCUGCCCUUCGCCUUUCUUGCUCUCCUCGUCUCUCUUGUGGGCAUCAUCAUUUGGAUUGUCGGGUACUGACAUUUGACUCAUUUUCUUCCAUUUUUCUUUGCAAAUUUCACUGCUGCUGCGUUGUUUUCUUGACUUUAUUUUGUCAAUCAUGUUUUGAUUCUCUCCUUUUUUCUCCUCUCCCUUUCUUGAAUUUUAUUGAUUGGUGUAGUAUACUGUUGAGCAUCAUAUGCCCAUGUUGCCUGUGCGUGACUGUGCUAGUGGAGAUGGCCCUGCAAUUGAUCAAAGCCCCCAUCCACGUUAUGGAGUGGUUCACCUCUCAGAUUCCCUGCUAGAUUAAUUCUUCUCCCUCUUUUUGUAACUUCUUCUUUUUCACAUCUUUGUUAGGAAAUUUAAAGUAAAUUGUAGACUCUGUUUUAUCUUCCUCUGCAUCUCUUGUUGUUAUUGAAUCAUUUACUUCAUCCUAGUUGCUAUUUCUGAUCCUUCUAUCUCAUGCUUAUCAAUUUCUUUGCUUUUUUGCUGGGGAAAAUACUCUUUAAAGUCUCCCCUUUGAUUCCUUCCCCCCAUGAAGAGAGAGGAGACAACAUUUGAAAGUAGAAAGAAGGAUUUUCGAACAUAUGAACUGCACUGAACCUUAUGAGAUUCUUGAACAUAAGAAACCACGCAUCAAAGAGGAUUACAUACAAUAGUUAACAGAAUUGAACAUCUGAACUGCACCCAAAUUUCCUUCGCCACAAAACAUAACUACAUAAGCAAACAUGAUGAAAAGAAAAAAAACAGCAUCAUUGGAAGGCCUUUCAUACACAACAGCAACAUGAUAAUAUAUGCGAAGCACUAAAUCAAUUUCAGUCAAGAUUGCCCUUUUUGCUCUUCUUUGUGUGAUUCAUCUUUAUCGAAGGUGUGAGUCUGACCAGGCAGGCCCUGUCCGGUAAGAAGAUCUUUCGUCGUUUGACCAAUUUCUGCUAAAGUUUCGCCAACUGCAUGCAGCACUCCACCGCCCUGUCCUUCUUGUCUCGUUUCUUCUUGGAUAAACUCCUUUUCUGUUGGUUUGGCUUCUCCUCCCUCUUCCUCGUAUUGAUUUUCCUUGGUGAUGAAUCCACCUUCCUACAUAUGUUUCAGGGUCAAAAAUCAAUCACCAAAAGCCAGCCAAAGAGAAAAAAGGCACGGAGUAUAACACAAUUUCCACAGCUUUUGCAAUUUUCUAGGACAAUGCAAGAUGCAAAAUCGCCUAGAAAAUACUUUGAUACUUGAUAGGUGAUACCUCAAAUGUAAAAAUUUGUUUUUUAUUAGUGAUUCAUAAGCACAAUUCUUCAGCCAGAUAUUUGCUUUACCUUUUGUCCUGUGAGCAUCAUAAAUAAGUGGUGCAAACAAAUCAAUUACUCGUAUCUUCAUGGUAAAAAAUCAUAAUCAGUCCGAUGUGCGAAUAAUGAAAAUUAUGACUCACUGAUUUACCUUAACUGGAGUUGAUUUCUUCUCCUCUAAUUCUCUCUGAGCCUCAGCCUUCUUCCUAGCUGCAUGCUCGGCAGCACUUUCUUCAGUUGCGACUACAGCAUCUUUAGCAGCAGCCAAUUUACUCUCAGUAUACCCGACAACUGUCUGUCCUGCACCCGCCACCUUAUCCUUGGCCACCCCAGCUACAUCAGCCAUUACUUUAGUACCCUGAGCAGCCUUUUCUGCCGUGUAAUGUGCCGCACCCCAGCCAGCCACGGCCGCCAUGUCUGUGGCUUCCCCGGCCACCUUUCCCAUGUAUCCUACUGCAGUUUUGCCGCUUUCCACUGUAAUAUCCUUAACAACCGCUGUUUGUUCUCCAACAUAACCAGCCGCCUUCUUGGUUGCAUCCACUGUAGCAUCCUUAGCCUGGACCGCCUUUUCCACUGUAACAUCCUUGGCCUCUUGACCCUUUUCAACAGCGGCGUCCUUCAAGGCUUUAGCCUUCUCACUAGCAACUUGAGUUCCACUUUCAACACCUUGCUUGACAGAUUCCUGGGCUUGGCCUGCCUUUUCUGCAGCAUAUUGGGAUCCAGUUUGAACUCCUUGCUUCGCUGUUUCCUUGGCUUGCCCUGCCUUCUCAGCGGCAUACUCAGAUGUUGCACCAGGUUUCUGACAUGCCGCUUCCUUUGCCUGCCGCGAACGCUCCUCGGCAGCCCUGAUGGCCUCCAUGGAAUUCUGCUGCGCCUGUUGCCUAUACUCGGUUAUCUCCUCCAAGGAAGGCAUUUCUUUCUCUUUACCUUCCUCUUCGCCCUUCUUCCUUUCUAUCCCUUCACCCCUUUCUUCAUCUGUGCCUCCACCGGCUUUCACAGCCAGAGACUCAAAAUGGGUAGCCAUUUUUGGGACCCUGUCUUUCUCUGCAUCGACUGCUCGCUCAUCCGUAACAUCUUCCCUUCUCAUUUGCUCUGACGACAUUGUCAAUUCUUGAUCAAAAGAUGAUAGAUAUCUUUGGAAAUUUCUUUUGGAACACAAAUGGAUUUUAUGUAGUAAAAAAAUGCAGUACUAGGAUGUAUCCUAUGCAAUGUGACUCUGUGUGAGAAUUCGAGACAUCAGGAAGUUUGGAAAAUGGUUAUAAAAACUGAGGCCCAGAGGUGAUGGCGGUUUCCAAGGAGAUCGAUGUAAGAAGAGGAAAUGACAGGUGGGCAAAGCUCAUGCAAUGUAGUGGUGUUGUGGGGUGGUGGCCUGUGUGAGUCAGCAAUCGAGUCAAGCAAAGAUGUACACGUGUUUUUUUUCAGCAGGAAUGAUACAACGAAUCGGCAAUGCUUUUUGAAAAAUUGUGUGGAUAAUUGGAAUUUAGAAAAAUGAAGAUGUAUAUGUAAACAUUUCCAAGUUCAAAUUUAUGUAAAUAUGACUGCAUGAAAAUGAUUAAUUGGGGCAAAUAUGAAUAUGGGUCAACAUGUAUACCAAAACGGACCGAGAAAUCGAUAGUGCUGUUUUGUUUAAUAUCACAAAGGAAAGCCCAAGUGCCAGCAUUCAGCAGGAACAUACUAUUGAUGAUUUCCUACAAUUUUUUGGUACAAAAACGUUUGGGAUGAAUUAUUUCGAGUCAUCAUCAUGAGUCACGGCGUACCCCUGUAAUCAUACAUCGUUUUACAGAAAUUCUUACAAAUUGUUUAUUAAUACAAUUCUUACAUCAACAACGGGAUGUAAAUACACGAUCUUUCCUAUACGCAGGCAGGCAGCAGAAAAGGUGAUUACAGAAUUUAGUAAAUGUAACUAUAAGUAUUAGAACCAUUUCCAAGUCAAAAUCUGGUUUCCACUCACUGACCUGGAUCCAACUAGACAUGGACGGUGUUUCAAUUGUGGUUUAAUCAAAUCCACUUUGAUCCUCCUAGAUGCCAUGAGGCUUGUUGUCCACUUGUUUCAUUGAACUAGCCCAAAGUGCUAAUGCGUUUAUAAUUCAAGUCGCAAAGCAGUUGCCAAUCAGCCCGUAGUCUAGUGCUGUAGACUAAUGGAAGUCCCCAAAGAGAGACUGGUAUUCUUUCGAGGGACUGAAGUAAUAAUCAGUAUGUUGAAUUGAUGAAAUUUGGCAGUUUGAAAAUAUGCAUUUCCAACUGAAGUGCCAAAACAGCUUCAAAUUUAAGGUUAACGUUCGAGUACUAAAGAAUGACUUGUCAAAGCCCCUGUAUUGCAAAACUUCCAGUUUAAAAGGCGAUAUCGAUGAAUGGUAGAAUUUUAACCACAUUAACAGAACAAAAAGAUGAAGCAAUUCUGACACAAGAGAAUGCUAUAGUUGCCUGAAAUUGGCCUGAAAAUAAUCCAAUAACAUUAAUAAUUCUCAAAAAAUGAGAACAACUUCUUAAUCAGGCAUCCUCUCAUGCCAAAAGCCCCCGUAGUCUCCACUUUACAAUUGAAACAAUCAAACAGUGAUCAAAUUAUUCCCUUGCAUUGCACGAGAUAAAUAGAAUAGAGCCAAUUUCUACCCUUAAACAAUGGACAUUUCUUUCUGUUGAUGAACUAAGUAUCAGUCAGAGUUCAUUCCUGCUACCCCUUUUUUCUGUAUCUUCCCCAUCAACCAAAAAGAGCUGCAUAAAGAAGUUCAUUCCAAGUAUCAGGCAAUCCAGGCAGACACCAAUGGCUGCAAUCCAGGCCACUGUGCUCACUGUAGUAUGUUGGAUGUGCAUCCUUGCGAUAUUGUGAAAGUGUUGUGAUGUCCAAUAAAUAAACAGGAUUCUUGAUUCUGCUCAGAACUUUGUUCAGAACUAUUGAAGCCAAUGGUGUGCCUGCCGGAUACCUUGCACCAAAGUAUGGCUGUGUCUCGCCAGCACAGGAUCUUGACGGUGCAUUCCAUUCCCUGCCCCUGAAUUCAAUUGCAAAGAUUAACAACCGCUAAGGUUCUGUAGACUAGUUCAAAGGCAAAGUUCUAACGAGUUAAUCUUAUUUAUGUAUACUGACAAUGUACAUACACUGUUAGGUGGUUAGAUGCUUGAUAAUUAUAUAAAAUUUAAAUUUAGAUUAAUUGUUAAGCAUCUAACGGGGAUAUGACAGUGUAUAUACACUAUCAUGGUUAGAUGCUUGAUAAUUAUAUAAAAUUUAAAUUUAGAUUAAUUGUUAAGUAUCUAACGGCGAUACUAUAUUUACUGUAUCAGUGUGUAUAAAAUUAAUUCAUUUUUAAACAUAACUUCAAAGGGUUAACUCUUGAAGAAUAAUGUUUCACGAAAAAUAGAUAUUGCAACUUUUUUUUUUCUAAUUUGUUCAAGAAAAGACUCUAAACUUUACAACGGGGAGGAAAAAAAUAGGUAUUGCUACUUGUUAGUGGUGAUUUCGUAGUAGCAUUUGGACUUGAAAAAAAUGGAAUGCUAAAAUCUUGUCAAACUAAAUAUAUUUAGUUCUUCUACAAACAACCAUAAUGUUUAUCUACGAGCCUUUUGGUUUUGAUAUAUAUGCAUAAUUUGCGUACUUGGAUUUUACAAUGAAAUUGGAGGGAAAUUGCAAUAAACUAAUCUCAAAUUAGGUGAGGAAUUGGGAACAGAGAAAUUGCUUACAAGUAGUGAGUAGGGGAAAUUCCUUGGAAGAUGACUUUAGUUUUGGAAGGAUCGACGUUCCGGUCGACCCAUCUGGCCCAUGUUGUCAUCCCUAUGUAGUAAGCAAUCAGACGGUUCAUAUCUUUCUGAACUUUGACGCCAUCUUGUAUGUAAUCCCAUCUGCGUUAGAUCAUAGGGCACUGAAAUCAAUUAAUACAGCCUAAAAUAUAAAUUGACCAUAAAAAUUUCAAUCAUAAAAAAUUUAUGAAAUUGGAGAAUUUACGGCUGGGAUCUUCCAGUAUGGGUCCACCAAUGCCAAGAGUUGAAAAUUAGAAGGUCCAUCCCUCUCCAUGCAUCUCCACCCCUAAUGGAGUCCAGCUUUAGAACUACGCCCUCCUUUUCCUUCACCAUAUCCACCAGGUAUGGGGUGCGAUAUAGUAGUAUCCUAACAUUAUAAUCCUAAUCAAACCAAAAACAAAUCACAAUUGUUACCACAAGGCCUCCAUUUUUCUUUUUUCUUCUUUUUUUUUUGCUACAAAAGAAUAUACAUGACAACGUCUAAGAGUAAUAAAAAGAAUCUCAGAAUUAUUAGUCGAGAAAGUGUAAGUGAAAGAUUUCGAGUUCGAUUCCUCCACACAGAAUAAAAUCUACUUGUAUGGUUCUAGUAAGUCAACCAUCUUUGUUACUUUAUCUGAGAAAUUUGAUUGCUACAUUUACCUUAAAUUAGAUCAACAAAAUUGCAUACAAUAAUUCUUUAACAUUCCAUUGAUGUUUAACAUAUUCCUUUUUUCUUUUUUUUUUUUGGUUCCUUCUAUCCAAGAGAGAACACAAACCGUAAAAGGGGAGAGUGUGCAAAAAGAAAGAUUGAUAGUUGAAUCAAAUACGUUAAGAAUCACUUGACUAAUGUUCCUAUAUUGUUUGGAAUGUGGUUUUCUUUAGAAAAAUUUUUAUGUUUUACGUGAACAUUAUUUUUUAAUCUUUUAUUUACGUCACAUACAUCAAAUCCUUACUGAAUAUUUUUCUAUAAAAAAAAACUUUUAAAAAUGACAAUCGAAAUUAAAGUUAAAUCUAAAACAUCAUAGUAACGACUCAAAACGUUUAACUUUUCAAAAAAGAAUUCGAAAAAUAUUUAUCUUCCUAAAGAUGACACUACUCACACCCAUUGCCAUUCACGAGUUGUUGAAGAUAGGAUUCACAAUAGGCCAGAUGGACACUUAGAAGAAAGCAAAUCGCAGACAGGAUGGUCCAUGGAUUAGCUGUUUGGGACUUCUUUUUCCCGAUUCCGUAUUUCAGUUCGUUUCUACCAACAUGCGUCCUUGUCCGGCUGUCCCGUCCCUACUUUCUGUUUUUGCCAACAAGGCAAUCACGCCAUCACUUUGACCAAAAAUCACUCCUAAGUUCCACAAAUAAGGGUAGGUGGUCCGAUUUUCUUCAUCAAUACAACAUAAUUUCUCUUCCUAUACUCCUCCUAUAUCCACUAACUCCCUACCAUAGCCUCCAUAGGCUCCUCCUCCCCUAAAUUAGAAUAGAAUAGAUUAUAUAAAUGUAUCGUUGCUGACAAAAUAUAUAUAUAUAUAUAUACUCCUCCUAUACACACCUUCAUGGACCGAUGAAUAAAGUCUACCAAGAUUGGAUAAUUUUGUGUUAUACAUUAAAUUUCAACUUCUUCACGGAUAACAUUUAUAUACAUUGUGAGUGUAAAAAAACUUUUAUGCAAGCAGAUUUAAAACUUAACACAAAUUCAAAUUUGAAAUUCAAAUCAUGAAUACAUGACAUAUAUCUAAAACUGUUAGUAUAAAAAAAAUCAUUACACUAUUAAUAUAUAAAAAGUCAACCCUUUCUUUAUUAGCAAAAUGCUUUAUUGGCUUUUUUCAAUUACUGUGCGCCCUUAGAGUACAAUAUAAGCACACCCAAAAGAAGGAAGGGGCCAAAUAUGAAAUUAUGACGUCAUUCGACCCCACCCCUUUUGUUUUGUCUAGAAAAUUUAAAUUUUUGCAGAUAAUAUAUAAUAUGAGUGGACCUUUGGUUGUAUACGUGCCCUUAAGUUAUAGAAUAGAAAAACCCUACAUUAUACUAACUUUCCAAAGUCAAAAUUUCAUGAUAAACCAGAUGGUGAUGUCAAAAUACAAAAUUUCUCAAAAUUGAUAAGAUAAAAACUUUGCAGAAAACCCAAUGAUCGAUUUUCUAUAUUUUAGGAUUUGAAACACGAAAAACUUUGGAUGCGGAAUUAUAAAAAAGAGAUGUUGUAGCAUAAAACUGAUUGGACUAGUUCAGAAUUUAUUAGGAAGCAAGCAAAUAAGCCAGAAUGCCUCUUUCACCAAAUUUAAUUCUACCAAAGAAGACAACAAAACCCGAAUUAAUUAAUUGAUUAGUCAUUUUCCAGCAGUCCUCCUCCCCUCUAUAAAAAGACAAAAUCAUUAAUUAUUUUAAAAAAUAAGCCAAAAGUCUCUUUUUUUUUUUUUUUUUUUUUUUGUGGACUACCGCUUCAACUUUAUGCAUGGUUUCUUCCACAAUCAUAAUGACACCCUCAAAUUCUACCUGAUUUUUCAAUCAUGCCUCCCUCAAUUACUCCUGAAAGAUGGUGCAUAUUACUACUAGUAUUUUUUACCAUCACCAUUUUCAAAAAGAUUCCUGUUCUUUUUUUUUUUUAAAGUCAAAACACUUACAAGACAAAUUGGGACAAAUUUACAACAUGUAAUCAUUAGCAAGACUUUUAAAUUCUUCUCAUAUCUGCAGUUUAAAUUCUUUUCACAGAAGUCUCAAGUGUUGCAGAUGCGUUUCUUUGUCCUCUUCUUUACCACAGCUUUCUCCAUGUGAAAGAAAAGGCUAAAUGCGUUGAAAGUUUCAUGGACAUGGACCAUCAACAACUUUGCAAAAAUUGAUUCUUUUCUUCCUCAAAACAACUGGCAAAUUCACCAAGCACGCCAUCACUCCAAAAACUUUCUAACCAAACAAGUAUGGAGAAAAACAACUGGCAAUUCACCAUCGGAAUAAAGAAGUCCCAAAAAGUUUGUGUCCCAAAAAUUAAUGCCCUGAUCUAUCCAGUCUCAGGAGCAUAUGGGGUCCCAAUAUUUCCUUUACCAAACUCGAAUUCCAUCUUAAAGCGCCUUGACGGCAGUCACAUUCGGAAACCAAACAUUAUCAAUUUAAGGAAGAAAUCAAGAAAGUGACAAUAGCCACGAAGGCGGAUGGCAAUUGAAUUCAAAUCAAGUGUUGAAAAAUUGCGAUGUGAACUAUAAAAAUAUUAGGUGCGACGUGCCCAUUAUGUGGUAAUAUUACGUGAUGCACUAGUAUUAAUAAAAAUUCAUAGCAUUAACCUGUCUGAAAAACACUUACGAUUAUUAUUUGAUGACAGAUGAUUAGUUUUAGUGCACCACACGUGAGCUAGCGAGUAUGGUCUUAGUAAUAGCCUCUCCGUCAAUCAUACUAGCUUAGCUGAGGACAUGGUACAGUACGAGCAGAAUGGAGAAGAAAAUGGUUGUUUGACGGAGUGCAAGUGACAAAAUUUGGGGCAGAAAUAACAGAAGGGAAGUGUAGUCAUGAACAUCUAUCACUUCACCUUCCAAAAAGCUAGGACAGAGACAGGAGAGAGGUGAUGCAUGCACCAAAUCAAGUCAUCAUUCAACCAAUUCAACAGGAAAGGUUGCUCAAAAUCUUGAAAACCUUAGGCGGUGAACCAUCAAGAGACAAGACGCGUGAAGAAAGAAACAUGGCUGGAGAUUAGGACUAAAACUUACCAGAAAUGCAAUUUCAGAAAGCCCCUCUUUCCUUAUCAGACUGUACCUAGCCUUCGGCACCCAAGAGUGAAUCAUGCAACCCAAUGAUGCCCACAUGUUGAAACUCAAUGAAUCGCCAACAAACAUGAUGUUCUUCCCCCUCCAUUUCUCCAAGAAAUACAGCCCAUUAAACCUGCAAAAAAAAAGUAGCAGAGUUGGAACUCCAAUCCCAGACCAGAAGAGAAUUCAAGAAACCAAAGUUGAGAUUGAAGAGUUCUGAGGAGCACUCAUGGAGUUUGUACCUUGGGAUGUUACAUGAAAAUGGCUGCCACCUGUAUUUGAGGUACAACUUGUCAGGCCUCUUGUAGAGGAGACAGUUGAAUUCUGUAUCAAUGAAGGGACAUGAUGCAUAAUCAUAAAGGGGAUAUUGAGCAUCAUAUACCCAUUUGCCUCUGAAAAUGUUGCAACCAGUGGCUAGCAUUGUGGCUCCAAUUGAACUAGUGGUACUAAUAUUGGCAGCAUUCAAGAAAUUCUCGAUUUCAUCAUCAGCUUUUGCUGUUUGGCAUGAACAAAGAAAGAGUAAAAGUACUGAAGGGAUGAACAGAAAUCUCAUCUUGGAUUUCUAGCCCAGCAGAUUUGUCGGAGCUAAAUAACGAGGUUUUGAGGUAAAGUUUGUCGUUAAGAAAUGUGUUUCAUAUACUAUAUAGUGUACAACAUUAUAUACUAAUAUUGUGCGAGACUUGUGGACUCUGGUUAGAAAGAGAGAGAGGGAGAGAGAAUGAUGAGAAAGUAUUCCCAGUUGCACAUGCCCUUGAAAAUUAGAUGAACCCCACCUCCCCCAGGCGCCAACAAACAAGUGUCUCUUUUUUUAAAUAUAUAUAUCCAUUUGUGAAUUGUGAAUUUCUACAAGAAGAAUUAAAAAAAAAAUUGUGAUUAAUCUGAUCUUGUUUGGGCUAUAUGCUGGACUUUAGCCUGUGGGGUUGGUAAUUUUUUUUUCUUUUUUUUUUUUGUUGCAUUUGAAAUAUUUUGAAACCUCAUUUGAGUGUUCUUUUUCUUUAAAGAAAAGGAUGGCCUUUUUUAUAAAGUUCUCUUUGUGUACUUUUCUUGUGUUUGGUAGGUGAUUCUAAAACUUUUGGUAAAGGUGGCAAUAAACAUUAUUAUUAAUUGCAUAUGCUAAGGUUAAUUGUCUCUAGCAUCAUUAUUAAUUAAGCUGCACAUUUUGUUAAUGACUUCCACUCGCAGCUGCCUCUCUUUCUCUUCUACACUACUAACAUGCGAGAGUUUAUCAAAACCAUGGGCUAUAUAUAAUACAUAGUAUUAGAUUCUGUUUCCUUCUCUUUCUCACAUUUGCUCUUAUUAACUACAAGUGGCUUAAGCAUUAUUUUUCCUUUUUAAACAUUUUAGGAAAUGAAAUUUUUUGAACAAACUUGGAUUGACCUAAACUACGGUCAAUUUCUAGUGCUGAUUUAGGUAAUGUUUGGAUUGUAAUUUUUUGGAGUUUCUAUAGAAAAUGUAUGGUAACGAUUUGAUAUAUGUGAAGUAAAAAGACGAUCAGAAAACGUAUUUACGAAAAAUGUAGAGAUUUUUUAGUGAAAAAUUCCUUUCUAAACAAGCCCUUAGACUUUUGUAAAAACUUCAAGAAAUCAAAUGGAGGCCAUAAUUCAAUUUGUUUCUUUUGUUAAAAUCAAGUUCCUAGGAUAACUAGUGAACAGAUAAAUCACAUGUAAGAAAAGCUCGACAUUUUUUUCAACGGUGAGAAUUUAAUCUUAGUCUAUUUUACUCUUUGAUCCAUCCUAGAAAUUGAAUAAUUACACGCACAUUUCCUCUAACGCUUUUGUAUCAUUGAACUAACCCACAUAAUAUAGAAAAUAAAAAUAAACAAAAUCAUGAGUUUAAAGAGUUGUUGUGGGAAAUUAAAAUUUAAGUCUAGAACUAGACGAGGUGUCUUUGUAAUUACGACAAAGCUCAAGGGUGGACGGUAGUGUUAACAAAAUUCCUGCCGUGCUCGUGCUUCUUCUUCUUUCUUUAUCAUAUUGUUAGAACUUUCCGCGUGAAUUUUCUUUGCUACCAUAAUCACAUUCGUCCAAUUAAAGUAGUGGAGGACACCAGUGACUGUUGAUUGAGACCAGGCCGCACCACAUAUUAUUUGAGUCUGAUAAUACUUUAUUUACAUGGCAAGAUAAAGAGAACAAAAUGAAAUUGAUGCCUUGGAAGAUUGAAGAUUCAGCAAUUGAGACUUGCUGACUUUUAUCUUAUUAAAGUUACAAUCAAUCCAACAUCAUGGAACCAUCCUCAAUCCUUUCUUUUCAAUUUUUUUUUUGUCUUUUCUUUUUAAUUUAAUCACUCUACUAGAAGUCUGAAUUGGUAUUGUGUUUACAAUAUUGUUGUCAUUAAUUAAGUAAGAGUACUUGUAAGGUGGAUGGAAUUAAUUGGACAAAAGAGCUGAUAUGACAAUUUAGGGAUGAUAGUUUCUUUCUGCCAUGUAUCCAAUAGUUAUUUGCUUAGCCAUCACUCUUUAUCUCCGAAGCAACCAUCCUGCUAUGUGCUCGACACUUGUGAACUUUAAUAACUCGAAGGCUUAUGAUUGGAAAUUAUUGUGUUUUUGGUUACGUACUCUGGUUAUUUUCUUGCGAAAAUGGAUAAAAAUGAUGAAGUGGCACAACACCUGUAAAAUGUAGUAUUCAGCUAAUUAAUUCAUGGAGGGGACUGUUUUCAGGCACCGUUUUGGAUUGAGGGAUAGGGGUUCAUUUGUGAUUAUUAUUUGGACAAGAAUUCUAUUAUUUUUUAAUAGAGGAAACUUUCUGGCUAGUGAGGGCAACGGGGUGGAAUUGGGGCCCGCCCCCACUUCCCCCUCUUCUUCUGUGAGGUUAAUAAAAAUUUGUUAUAUAAUUUUAUUAUAAUUAAAUUCUAGCAAAUAAUUAAGUAGUAAAAUAUGAAUACAUCAUCAAAUCAUUAUCCGUUGUAAUUUUAUAAUUAAAAUUCAUAAAAAUAAUCAAACAAAAACUAUUUGAAUAUAAUCUAACAUGAUGAAACAAAUACAACUACAGUAGUCAAGUUUUCACUUUUGAAAAAAAUACAAUCACUAACUUAUUAUUGUAUUUUUUUGAAAAAAAAUUGUUAUUGUGUUAAGUGUAAUUGAGGAUUUAGUGUAAAUGUAUUAGUAAAUUUAAUAUAACUAAUUAAUAAUUUCUAUUAGUAGACAUGUAUAAUUAUUAGUAUAAUUGAUAAUAUCAAUUAUAUUACAUAUGCUUAUAUAUAUAUAUUAUAUAAUACUUAUAACUAAUAAUAUCAUUAUUAUAAGUUUGAAACUAAUUAAAUUAAAUGCUAUAUAUAUACAUAUAAAUAUAUAUAUAUAUAUAUAUAUAUUAACGGGUGGCGGGGCAGGGGUCCUUAACGGGGGAAAAUCCCCCCGCCCCAACCCCCAUCCCCUUAUCCCCCAUGGCGCGCAUCUGUCCCAAUUGCCGUUCCUAUUUUUGGGAGGCCCUGAACUAUUCACUUUACAUGGUUUUGGUCCCUAAAUUACAAGUUAUCACAAAUAAACCCAUAAACAAAAAAAAUGCUUAGUUUAAGGAUUUCCGUCAAAUUUGAGUGUUAAAUGUAACGGAGCUAGGGGCAAAACCAAUCAAAAAGAAAAACCAACCCAUGAUUUGAUUAAAAACCUACUAUAUUAAGCCAACUGAUAACGUGAAAUUUAAUGGUUUAUCAUCUUCUUUCAUCUUUCACCUUUUCUAGCCUUAAUUUGAUGAAAUAAUCAGUUACUAGACUUUUUAGACUAUUUUGUGGGUUUUUUUUUUUUGGUUGGUUUUGUUCCUAAUUCGGUCACAUCUAAUGGCCAAAAUUAAUGAAAAUCCUUAAACUAAGCAUUUUUUUUUGUUAAGGACUUAUUUGUGACAAUUUAUAGUUGAAAGGCAAAAACCAUGCAAAGACAAUAGAUUAGGGACUGUCCGAAAAACUUCCUCUUUUUAAUAUGUUUUCCAACCAUCUUAUAUUUUGUAUACAUCACUGUCAUUACAGCACAAAAGUGUCAUAAUAAACAAUACCAAAAAAUUUCCCAAAUGGCUUGCAACCCAUACAUAAUAUAACAAGGAGCAGUCGUAGACAGAACGUAAUGGUGGUACCUUUUGAUUUUGAAUUUUGGGCAAAUUUCUAAGUGUCAAUAAGGGUGUCUUUGGGGCUGUCAAGUAACAGUUGAAAAUCAAGAAAUGAGUACCUAAUAGAGUAUAAAAUUGAUUGGUUUUCGACAUUACAGAAUUCAAUUCAGGAGUCUUUGAGUUUUGACAUGAUGAAAAUUGAAGAAGGGGCUCAUGUUGUAGGGUCUGCCGUUUGUCCCAAGAAUCGAUCUUCUCCACACAAAAAUGAAAACACAGCAAUAGCCAUAUGCAUGGCGGCAUUCCUCCAUACUUCUCUUUCAGCGUUAGUCAAUCCCACGUAAUAAUUCAUAGUGCCACCAAAGCCGCCUCCCCACCACUUCUUGCUCUUGGUGCUAACACCCUUGCACACACGCAUGGUGGGCAAUGGCGCACACAAUACAUAUACAUAUAUAUAUAUAUAUAUAUAUAUAUAUAUAUAUAUAUAUAUAUAUAUAUAACAAUAUUUGGGGGAAUUAUUUGAGGUGGAUUUUAAAAUAAAAUGCUAGUUAAAUAUUACUUGUUCUGAAAUUUUUAUAGAAAGGAAAGUGCAAAAAGAGGAAAGAUGUAGGGAGAAGCGAAAGGGACUAAAAAUGGUGUGACUCGGACUUUUGUUCUAUGGCAACUAUGGAAAACCUUUAGUCUAGGAUAAUUUUUUAAUGUAAAUCGCUGCACUUGAUUUUCAAUAAGAAACACUUCUUAAUCUAUACGUUAAUUUAGAGGCUUUCUUAAAGAACAAAUAAAAUGAAUUCCAAUCAUUCAAUUGGUGGCCCCAAAAUGGUACUUUUUUUUUGGAAUAAAGGAGUCUUGUAACAUUGAUUAGUUACUUAUGAAUUGUGGGGGAUGGGGUCAAGUUUAGAACUAUAUGGAAACAGCCACACUGUCUAGUAGUUUUUUUGUAUAGUGCUUCACAUGUGGGUUGGUCACUAAGAUAAGACUAUCAACUUGUGAGUUGUGAGGCCUGAAAAAAAAGAACUCUUUUUGUAUGGAGAUCUUGAUCAGGGAAAUGAGGAACAGAAUCCACUUGGGGGUUUGCCCAAAAUGAAGAUUUCCACCCAAAUUUAAGUUUGGCCAGAGUACCAAAGAUCACGUUAAUGUAAUCUACAAUUAUAGAGAAGUCACGAAGCUUUUAGAACUAGGUUAACCUCUCCAAUCCACUUUUGAAGUUAUAGAUCAUGUUUUGGUAUAUAUCAAUUAGUCAAUAACAUUAUUGUCAAGCCUAAUCUUGCAUGCAAAAUCUAUCAACAACAAAUACAAUGCUCAAUCAUUGAAAGGUUAGUACAAUACCGAAAAAAAAUAAUUAAGGCCAAAUUAAUCCAAAUAUUUCAUAAUUUCUCAAAUUAAUCCAAAAGGAAAUGGUGCAUGUCUCAAAUUCAAGGCUAAAGAACUAGAUAUUUUGCUCUUAGACCUACCAAGUAACAGCUUUGUUAGGAUUGCAUUUUUCUAGAUUUUUUCGUAGAAAAAUUACUGUAAUGAUUUGAUUUAUGUGAGGUAAAAAGGUGAUUGUGAAAUGUGUUCAUGGAAAACAUAGCAAUCUUUCUUUGAAAAAUUACUGUCCAAACAAGGCUAACUUGGUAAGCCUAAGAGCAAAAUAUCUAGUUCUUUAGAACUUGAAUUUGAGACAUGCACCAUUUCUUUUUUACUGUCUACGAUUUAUUUAAAGCUUUUGUCACAUUUGAAUGGUGAUGACAGAUAUUGCUUCUAAAGCAAGUAGGGCAACUUUGGCCACAUGUAAUUUGUAACAUUCAUUUGUUGUCUUCUUGCAACGUCAAGUCAUCCAGCCAUCUUGAUCGUAAUUGAUAGCACCCUCUAACAUAGUGGAUUGGCUAAAACAAGAAAUCUUGACUGCAAUUGAUAGCAUCCUAUAAUAAACGUACCAAACUUACUUUACCAAGUAACGAAUUGGGUGUUUUAGAAGCCAAAAGGAUAAUGGAUUAGGUUCCAAGAAUCACUUUUUUAUCUCUAUUUUGUCCCCUCUCACCCUUACUUUCUAUCCUCUCCCUAUUGAAGUUUUUUAACUACUUUUUUGGUUAUACAUGGAGGACUACAGUAAAGAAUGAGAGGGGAACGCUAAGAGCCCAUUUAAAUUACUAUUUUUUUUAAUUUUUAUAAAAAAUGUACCGUAACAAUUUAAUAUUUAUAAAGUAAAAAAAAUAAUUAAAAAGUAUAAAAGUUCUGACCUAAUUCUGACCCGCAACACGACUAAAACGACCCUGAAUACAACCAGUCCAGAAUCUGAAUGAAGCUACUUCUUGUUUUGUUUAUCUGUGCCAAAGAAGGAAAAAAUCUCAUUACGUCUCGAUUGUGUCCCUUUUUUGUACUAAAAAAUCGUUUGCUAAAAAUGUUUCCACAAAGCUUUCGGGGGUGGGGUAUACUAUGCAACCUAGGGUUGUCUAGGUCACAAGCUUUUCUUCUUUUUCAUUGUCUCUGUGUAAAAGUAAACAAGCUACUCCUUUUAAAUGGUAAAACGCUGGAAUGUAUAAAACAGGAAAUUUUCAAUAGCUUUUCUGUCCUGAAUAAUCUGGUUUAACAGUUAUCCUACCGUCCAACUUCUGUGAGGAGCUGGAUCCAACCUCAACUAGGAAUUUCUUUCCUGGAUCAGAAUGGCAUCCAACCAUCAUUUUCCCCCAGUUUCCUAAUGGAUAAAACAUAGUGGCGGCCUCAGUAUUCAUGAAACUUGAAUUGUAAAUAAAGAUUAAUAAAUUAACUGCAAAUUUACAGGCAGCCACAGACCAGACAAUCAAGGGAUUUACCAUUAGAAGCCAUUCAUUCAUUCAUUCAUUCAUAAAACUGGGUUUUCUGCAAAUCAUAUGAUAGUAAAGACCAUUAAAUGGAAGAUUUCCCCUUCUAUACAUAACUAACUUAAACCCUAUUAUACUCUUUUAAGGCGAAACAUCUCCGCUGGCCAUUAUUUACACUCUUUUAACACAUUGUCAGCUUCCAUUUGCUGCAGGUGGAAACCAAAUAGUACGAACUAAGGCAAUCUUAUUUACGGCAGCAGCACAUUUAGACAAGCUCCCACUCAGUUUCAGAACUAUGAACUGGAAAUGACUUGGUGUUAGACUCUGCAGGACGAUCGGUCAUUGCUCUCUCUGCACCCUCUUGAUUUGAGUUUUGCUCGGUGUAUCUCGCUGCAAGCUGCUCAUAUUCCUUCUUUUUUAACCUCAUCCUGGAGGAGAAAGCUUCGCGCAAUUUUUUCUACAAGAAGAAAUUUGUCCAGUCAGGGAAGAAAAGUUCACACAAGAAAUCCUUCAACUCUAACAGAUGAGAGAGAGAGAGAGAACCUUGUAGGAUUUGUGAUUGCCCUUCCCUUGAGGUAAAAAAUGAAGCUCAUCCCCCUCCACCAAGACACAUGUUUCCCCUAAUUUUGACUCAUCAAACGGCUCAAUAAUUUCCACAUCCGGGUCCACAGUAUCAUCAUUCUUGGCUGCAUUUACACUAUAGUCAUCCAAUCUUUCUGUCAAGCAUAGAGAAAGAACAAUAUUAGCAAAAGCAGAGACCUACUGAGGAAGAGGCAGGAAAGUCACUGGUACAUAAAUUUGGUGCCUAGGUUGCGUCAGCCCAUACUGUGCUUGGACAAGAUUUUUUUUUAUUGUAUCAUAAACACGUCUUCCAAUUACUUUGUUUAUAUCAAAUCACAAAAAGUGCUACAGUUAUCCUAAAAUUUUUUUCAUGAUCUUGCCUAUCCAAUUUUCUGGGGGAGAGAGAGAUAGAGAUCAUGAGAUUAUAUGAUUGUUUGUCGUGAAAAAUUUUCAGCCAAAAUGCACAAUAUAGCAGGAGUCCAAGUUCAGUCUCCACGUUGAGAAGACAACAGGUAAUCCCAUCUAGUAAUGCCAUAAUUGACUUCACUUUAGGUAAAAAUUGAUGCACUUCAUCUCACUUUGCCUAGAUGCAAGUCCUAGAAUGACUUAUAGAAAUGAUCCUCUCACACAAAGUUUAACCCUUUUCUGGACGCAAUAGACCGAGACCUUUAAUGAUUGAAUUACAUUCCAUCACUUGGAACUCGACUUUCCAAUAACUUAGCCAUAAGAAAGGUUGGAAUACAAUUUGGUUUUAUUAAUACCUUGGUGGGCCAUGAAGACCUCCUCCUCAACAGAUUUUAUGCUGUCUGUUCCAGUUGCAAUUGUCUUCUGAGUCUGGGAAACCACUGUGCUGUUUGUACAUGUGCCUACAGCUAAAGCAGCAGUUAGGGUGCGUCAAAUGCAGAAAUCAUAAUGAAAUAAGUGAAAGGACAAAACUGAAUCCAGUUUUAGAUGAUACCAGAGGACUCUGAUGAUAAGCCAUCAGAAGGAGAAUCAGCUUGCUUCUGCUCAGCUGAUACAACUGACACAAUUGUUUUAGCAGCGGUAGCUGGUGAAUUAAAUGAAGCACGAGACAUAGGCAGACUGGUAUCAUCCAUAGGUUUACAAAGCUUCUCAUUUGCAAUUCUGGAGCGUUCUUCAGCGCCAGCUGGUGGCGAUAAGACAUCAACACAGCCAGAGGCCAUUUGACAACUCUUUUUCAUUUGAGAAAAUGAGGACAGGUUUCUUAAAUUCUCUGAAAAUGGUGCAACUGGCCCAGUCACAGGUGGCAUAAAAUUUACCAUAGAAUUGCUUUUCCUACUGGCUACCGGACGUCUGUAAAGUCCGGUUUUACUUUUACCUGUAUGCACCAAGAGUAAGAGCUAUAACUUUCACCGUGAUGGAAAAGAAUGAAAAGAACCCUAUUCCGCCAAAAUUUUGAAAAAGAACAGAAAGUUCAAAUCUUUACCAGAAAUUACUUUAGACUCAUCACUUAAUUUCCAAUUGGUAUCUCUACCAUCUUUUUUAGCAUUUGCUUUCAGUAUCAUUUUGGAGUGAGCAUAAGGAUUCAAUGACAAGUCAGCAGCAGCCACUUUCACAGGAUCAACAUAUGAAUCUGAGUGCAAAUCUUUCAUCACUUCUGAAUAGAACCUCUUAACACUAGCACCAACAGUCUGGACCUGAUUUUCAACAUAUUUGACAGCAUCCUGUCAAAAAUUAAACCACUUAAAAUAAAAACACCCACACUUUGAGACUACAUACACUUAGAUUCGAUAAGACCUCCCAAGGCAAAGCACGCAUAGCACAUUAUUAGAUAAUCAAAUCAGUAAUUUUGUCUGUGAAAACCACCACUAACCAACUUCAUAAUGUAUCACCAAAAGCAAAGAUAAGAACAUAAGUGGCACCAGAGAUUACUUUAGAAUAGAAAAGAUAACUUGUAUUCACCACAAGUAAGGGCAUCUACCUCAUACAUAACCUCUUCCAUCUCCAGACACAUAGCUUCAAACUUGUCAUAUAUGUUUCCAAUCCAUGCUAAACCUUUUAAGUCCAUCAUGCAGUUACUUCAGCACGUCAAGGCUUUAAUGCUCAGCUGCAAAAUUCAACAAAGGACUUUUGUAAGAUUUACAGCAAGAGCUUGCCUAAUAGCAAGAAGCCAUCGGGUACUAAGACACAGUUUAUUAAUUAUUAUAGCAGCAUCCAUUGCAAAUUUGCUACCAAGUGACAAAACAGUAUACAAGCUGAUCAUCAAAAUUGAGCAUAAUCAUUAUAGCAUAAUGAACUCAAUCAGUCAACAAUUUUAGCCCUCUGAGUCAUAGUUCCAGUAAAUGUUCUUUAGUCCUACAAUGUACAGUUCCCUGAUGCUCAAUAACAUAAGUAGAAGGGUUGCAAGAACAAACUAGGAACCAACAUUCUAGCUAAAAUGGGGUAGAAAAAGUCCACCAAAAUACAUUUCAGGCAGAGGGCUAGAAAGAUUCAUGCACAACAAAGGUAUGGAAUAAUAUCAAGGUUGGUUGAAUGUUUGUGAUAAAAAUUCUUAGUAGUUCAACCUGAUGCAUUGUUCUAAGCUGCAUAUUCACAAUCUACAUGUAAAGAGAAAUUAAAAUUUAGAAAAAAGAGUAAUUUCAUCUAAGCAAAUCCUCCAAAUAUCCAUCAGAAAUAUAUCAUCAAUAACAUAUAAUUCGAGCAGUAAACCAGAGGAAAGAAAAUUUUCAGGGAAAAAUAGUUUUGGUAAAUGGUUAGCUGAGACAUCAAAGGAAAGAUCCUACACAUACGAAGAAGGAUGCUAGAUUCCUAAUUCAUAUUGCAAAAGCCCUCUCCAACUCAUGCCUGUCAAUCUCAACAGCAGAGGGCCUCUAAGGUAAUUAUGAAUUAAGACCUUCAAAAGUCAAGCAUUUUUACUAACUUCAUAUAAUUCCCAAAAAGCAAACAGAAUAUAGAGAUUUUCACAGCAUUCAUGGUGCAGAUUUUUUUUUUUUUGCAGAGAAUAUGACUGAAAUCUUUGCAGAAGAAGAAAGCAUAAACCUAAACUGUAGAAUUUGCAGCCAAUCUUUGGCUAAUUUGAAUCAUUCAUAACAACUACAAUUUUAUAAGCUAGUACUUUCCAAUGCUAUCAAUAGUAGGCUUCAUCAAGCAUGACUAAACAUGGAAGCAUCAGAAUGAAGAGUUCAAUUAGUCAGCAUAAUUAACUAGGGUUUAUCUUACUGCUUUCAAUUGGAAAUAAGACAGCUAUUCCCGAGGAUCUGGAACUACUCUAGUUGUUGGAUGUUUUUCUAGAGAACAAGACAAUUAUAUUUAUUUGCACGACCCCCUAAGCCAAAAACCCUAUCCUCAAAUAGACCAACUCCACAUUGAUCUGUCAAUUUCAGGAUAGACAGACGUGCUUGAGCUUCACAAUCACCAGUUUAAAUAAGGAAUUGAAAAGAAAGAAACUAGAGAUCAAGUUCAUCACCCAGCAAACAGAAUGGCCUAAAGUUGAUUCGUCAGAUUCUACAUCUUAAACACUAAAUUCCUGUACACUGCCCCCAUAUCUAUAAAUCUAACUAGACAGGUACUCAAUCAAAUAAACGAAACUGCAGGAUAUGAUGGUAUGCACAUAAGAUAACAGUAAGCAAAAUGAGGCUUUCUUCCGGUGAUGCUGCAACCCAUGACAAAGAAGAAACCCCAUAACACAUUACUUUGGCGUAUAAAAUUGGAAAUUUGAUGUCGCCUUGCAUAACAAACCUUCACCUUCUAUUAGGAAAUAUUGUCAGAAAAUUCUUUCCCUAGAUUAGAAUAUACUACUACUUCUUUCCACAUACAAGGAAUAAUUUGAUGCUUUCCAUGUUUCAGAAAAAAGUCAAUCUUUAUGCUUUCCCAUAAUCAUGUUCGUCUAAACCACCCUUAAACCCAAAUCUCCCCCGAAACUAUUCCAAACCCAUCGAUUAAUUCAUCAAACACAAGCAAGCAAACAUCCUAAAGCCACAAAAACCAGACAAAGAAAAACCCACCAGACCACAAACUUAUCAGUCAUCACAUGAUCAUGGCCACUCUCUCCCCCAAACCAACACCCCCCCCCUUCACCUUCUUCGUCCCUAGCUUCCGAAACCAUCCAAAUUUACAAAACAAAAAAAGGUACAGGAACCACAUAGCAACAGCUAAACAGCAGCUUCGACACGAAAAAAAAAAACAAUUUUAUAGUCGUAAACUCAAAAUUUUUACCAGAAGAAAUUACAGAAACACAAAAAAAAAAAGGAUAACCUGAUCAGAAGUUAGAAAUACGAGUUCAAAAAAGGAAAAAGAAUCCAAAAAAGGACAUACACAUGCUAGAUAUUUUAGAAACAUGCGAUUAAAGAAAGUGGUGAUGAUGAAUAAAGUUAAAGCAGCACACUUACAUACUUGGGGAAUACAGGGAGGCCCAGAAAGGAAAAAAGUAAUCUUUCUCUCUCACUUCUUUUUUUUUUCGGAAGAUAAUUAGGAAAGAUAAGCCAAGAAAAAGGUUAAGUUUUUAGCUUUGAAGAAAGAGAUGAUAAAUUGAAGUAUUAGUAAUAGGUCGUAACUUGGAACAGAGGUAUCACUAACAUAAAAUAGGGUAAGAGAAAGAUAAGUUUAAUUGAGUAGGAGAAUUAGAAACGUAUAGGUGGAGCUCACCUGGUUUCCUUGGGUAUGGGUUCUUGACACGUGUAUUCCUAGAAUAUACUUAAAGGUAAAAUGCUACCAACCUAAAACAUCUAUAUAUAUAUAUAUAUAUUAUAGUAAAGACUAAAGAAGGGCGAAUUUAAGAAGCGAGGAGGAGUCAGGGGAUCAAAAUUUCUACAUUUUAUGGUUUCAAUUUGAGUCAUUAGACUAAAAAAUUUAAAUACCUAGUAAGUCAUUAUUCUAAAAAUAUUUGGGUUUCUUUUUAUUAAUAUAAAUGUCAGUAUUGUCUUUUUUGCAUACUAAUAUUGUGGAAAAGAAUAAAAUUACAAUACAUGUUGGCUUUCUUUUACUUUUUCUUGUUAAUUCAAGAGUAGUUGUUCUUUUUGGGGCUAAAUAAUAUUCAUGGAAUAAACAUGUUGUGUUAUUGUGUUUUUUUUUUUAGAGUGUAAUCUAUCCAAAAUUACAAUUUUUUUUAAUUUUUGACAAGAUUAGGAUUGUAUUGUUCUAUUUACAUAGAGCAUAUUUUAUCUUUCAAAAUAGUAGUGAAGUUACCUAUGAUGUUUAGUGGAAUCACAACUUCUUGCAACUAAUUCCAUCUCGAAUUCCUUAUUCCUAAGAGUUUUUGCAACAAAACUUAAGAAAUUAAGUGAAAAAUUGCUUUUGAAAGAAGCGAAUUUGACCCCAAGAAAAAAGCAAAAAAAAAAAAGAAGAAGGGAAUUUGACCCAAAUAAGUGUCCCUCAAAAUAUAAGAAUCAGAAUUCAUUGCCAAGAAAAUUCUGCUUAUAGCGAUGCCCACUUACAAAGGAUCAACUACAAGGUCCCUGAGUCCAUGAUGUGAGAACCCUCAAAGUCCAACUCACUUUCUUUAACUUUUUGCCCUGUCUAUUCAAGGGUUGGUAAAUUAUCGUCAAACCGAAGGUAAUACAGAUUACUUGUAAUUGUAGCCCUUGUAAGAUUUACACUUUUAAGCUUUGCCUAGGCUACCAAUAAAUUUGACAAGAAAAAAAAAAGGAACAAGAAGAAGAAGAAACUUAGAUGGCACCCAAGUCAAUAGGCCGACUAAUGAUGUGGAAAUAAUGAAUGCUUUUGUCCCUUGACCUAUUAUCCAGCUUCCACUACUGUUUUCUCGACUGCCACCAGAAGUUUGAAGAAUUUCAUUACAAUUUCCAUCCUCCUACAAGCAUAGCGUCAAUACAGUUUCCUGUCACUAAUUCUUGGCGAAAAUCCGUUUUCUUUCAUUUUCAACCUUUUGGACAAAAUCCAAUCUGGAAGAGAUAAAGAAACUAUGAUACUUGACGUUUUCAGAUGGAACGUAUCCAUGAGAAUUAUGUUUGGAUAAAAUUCGCCUAGCAAGAAUCUAAGGAUAAGAUAAUGAUAACCAAUCUUGUAGACUUCAAUUUCCAAGGGAUCAUAUUUAUCGGAAAAAAAAUGAUAAAUGCAAAUAUGAUACAGAAGAACAGAUGAAGCAAAACCAAGAAAUAUAUACGAGAAUACAUUCAACAGAAAAGAUCAAAUCCAAACUUAAGAGAAACAAAGUGGUAUUAUAUUUCAAUGUCAACCAGCAGCUUGAAAAUCCCCAAAGUCAUCAUCUGGAAUGUCUUGUGUGUUUUGGUCUUCUGGAGGUUCUAAUUCUUUAGAUUGUUCUUGAGGUGAGACAGAGUCCUCUGCUGCUGAAGAUUCCUUUAGACUGAGUUUUGAAGGCAGCUCUGAUGGAGAUGUUUUAGGACUCACAACGGGCGAUAAUGGUGCUGGUGGUGGUUUGAUAGAUAUCACGGGCUCCUUUUUACUACCCUUCUCCUCCAAUGAGAGAUCAUUUAAGCCCUGUUCAAAAAACUUGGACCCAGAACUCCGACCACUUUUCUGUUGAUAAAAAGAGGGCUUAAACAAUAUUACAUGAUGGAGGGACAAAUUUACGUACCAAUUAACUCCUUCAAUGUUUGGAGAACUUACAUUUUUUAUCUGAAGUACAAGUUUUUCUCCUUCUUUUAAACUGUAAUCAACUGAUGAAGUAUGCUGAUGUUGCUGUUCCAUUUCUUCUGCAGUUUUCUUCUUGUUUAGGUACCUUUUAACAGAAAAAGCAGGCUAAAUUUGGUUAGCGUACGCAUGCAUGGGGAGGAUUAAACAAAGCUACUUUCAAGCCUUGUAAAAGUACAGAAAAUCAUGGUA